UAUUUGAAAAUGUUUCCUUCAAAAAUAAAAAUUAAAAAAAUCGGAAAUGUUAAAUUAAACAUUGUUAGAAAGUGCUUUCUUUCUAUUUUGAGGGAGUUUUGAAUGGUAGUGUGGGGUUGUCCAAUAUUUAGGGUAGCACUUUGGUGACAUUGUGGUCGGUGACAUUGACCAAUCACAAUGUCACGCGUGUACAAAAAAAAACUUGUGAAAGAGAGAGAAGAAAGUCACGUGUGACAUUGUGGUUGACAAUGUCACCAACCACAUUGUCCAAACUAAAUGCACCCUGCCACCCAAGUUUCUGCAUACUCUUAUGAUUGUGAUUAAGCUUUGUUGUGAGACUGGUUAUAAGAAAUUUGUUUGUUUUUCUAUCUUCAUGUAGUGCAUUUAGGCCUUUUUUGGUAGAGGUGAAAUUAGAGAUGAGAGAAAGAGGAACGAGAGAGUUAGCAGAGAAACACACAAUCUCUUCUGUUUGGUACAACGCAGAAAUUGAAGAGAGGGACUAAAUUUGUGUGGGACCCACUCAAAUUUGAGUCUCCUCAACUAUGCGAAGAAAGUGGCAGAGAGAGAGAGAGAGCAUGACUUUUUGGCCAUUCCAACUUUGCCCCUAUCUUCAACAAUUGUGGUUGUGUUUCAAACUUUGUUCUGCUACCAACACAACACAGUUCUGAGAUUGAAAAUAAAAUUGAUGUGGUCGACAUUGCUAUUUCACUUUAGAAUGUGAAAAAAUCAAUCAAUUUUUAAAUUGUUUGAGUGAAAUUUAAAAUUAAAAACAACCAAUUUGUUGUUGGAUAAAAUGAAAAGGAAGGUCUUGGUUGUAGGGUGGAAAGAGAUUCACCGACGAGAGAUGCAGCGGGAAGGUGGGGGGUGGUUGGUUCAUGAUAGAAGCUCAUGAGUUUUUUUACUAGUUGUGAAGUUUUUUUUUACUAAUGUAUUAAUUUUGCCAAAGGGUAUUUUUGUACUUUUCAAUAUAAUCAACUCUUCUCUCUUCUCUAUUUCUUUCAUUUCUCUUUUAUAUCAAAUAAUCCAUCAAAUCUACUCUAUUUCUCAUCUUUCUCUCUCUUCACAACUUCUCUUCUAAACAAAACACACCAUUAGUGUCAAAGGAAGUGUCGAGAUUUCAUCACCAUGCAAACCUCUUGGAGCUCAUUCGGAUGUAUUUGGAUAAGGAGUGAUUUAUUUCCAUUCACCAUAUUUUUCAAGAAGGAAACUCUUGCGUCGACAUACUUGCAAAACUAGGUGCUAAUCAUCAAGAGUCUCUCAUGAUGGUACAUCAACCAUUACCAUGUCUAUCCUCAGCCUUACUAAUUGAUGCUAUGAGAGUGCCCUUUAUUAUAAUGUAGUUUUUCUUUGCUUCUUUUUCUUUUGUUUUUUUUUUCCUUCUCUCAUGUAACCAAAAAAAGAAAGUGUUUUCUUAAUCCCAAGUUACAAUAAUAUAUAUUUUCGUAAACAAUAUAAUAUAUAUUGACACUUAAUUGAAAUAUUUUUGUACUAGAUCUAAUAAGUGAAUUAAUUGUUUACAAAGUUACUAUAUAUUAGUUAUGAAAAUUUAUCUAUAAAUAGAGAGUUCGCAUAGUGCAUUCUAUACACCAAAAAAGAUUUAUGAUAUUCAAAUCUUUUUUAUUCUCUUUUUCUUUUUGCCUUGUGUUGACAAGUCUUUUUUCUCUCUCUCUUUUCUUUUUGUCCCUACGCCAGAUUAUCUACGUUGUUGGAGGCAUCGUAUUGCUAGGUGUAUUGCACAACUUUAGGGGGGUGUAUUGGAUCAUGAUUCUAAGGGAUUUUAAAAGACUUUUUAUCAUGAAAAAGUCUUGUGGUAUUCAAUCAAGACUCUUUCCAAUUUAAAAAAAGUUUUGUGUUAUUCAAUCAAGAUUCUUUGUCAUUUAAAAAAAGUCUUGUGGUAUUCAAUCAAGACUCUUAAUCACUUAAAAAAAGUCUAGUGGUAUUCAAAAUCAUUCAAAUUUCGAAGGAUUGUUUAAUAAAUCAGAUUUUGAUGGAUUUUGUGGGAUUUUCUAGUGAAAUUUUAGCAUGAAAAAGUCUUUCAUGAAAACAUGAGAUUUCUUAGGAUUGUUUUUUUCUUUUAAGAUUUUACUAUCUCUCCCUCUCUCUCCUCCCUUCUCUCUUACUCUCUCUUUUCCUCUCCCCCCCUCUCUCUCUCUAGCUCUCCCGUAAAAAACCUCUCUCUCUCUCUCUCUCUCUCUCUCUCUCUCUCUGAUUCCUUCACUCUCUCUCUCUCUCUCUCUCUCUCUCUCUCUAGCUCUAGCUCUCCCGUAAAAAAUAAAAUAAAAUAAAUAAAAGAGUCUUUAUUGAGAUUUUGUGAAAGAGAGUGUGUUAUGAUAUUUUUUUCAAUUAUUUCUUAAAAUUCAUAAAAUCAGUUGAAAUCUCUUGAAAUCCAUAAAAUCAUUUCAAAUCCUUUAAAAUCUUAUGAAUUAAAUCCAUUGAAAUCCUUAUUAUUCUUUUAAAAUCAUCAAAGUCAUCAUAAUCUUGCAAAGUCUUUUAAAAUCCUCAAGACUUUUUUAAACAAAAAUUGUCCUUUAAAAUCCUAAUCCAAUAGACACCAACUCAACCCCGAUAAUCUCUUCAAAGGUAAAAUCCUUUUUCUAAAAUACAUUUUUAAAUUUCAAAAACAACAAACACAAAUUUAAUGUAAUAAGUCUGACUUUUAACAACCUAACACUAUUAGAAAAUUUUUAUUUUUAGAGAGGGGUUUAAAGUUCUGUUUAUAAUUACUUGUCCUUUCAAAAUUCAACGAAACUUUUAACUAUUAUUUUGUCAAUAAUGUUCGACUACUUAUUACUAAUACAGAAAAAAGAAACAAUUUUAUCAAAAAUAAUAAUCAUUACCACUCUUGACUAUUGACUUAUAACAAUCAUAACAAAUUCAAGUCGAUAGAAUUUUUCAUAUAAAAACAAACAUCAACAUUAUAAAAAGUAGCAAAAAAUCCCAAUCUAUUUGCUAACGGCAAUGGUUAAAGUAACCAAAAUUAAUAGUUUUAUAUUAAAAAUAAUAAUUUAUAAACUUUUUAUAAAUUGACUUGAUUACUUUUUAUCGUUUUCAACACAAAAUUUCUAUUUUUGUUCCUUUAUCCAAUGUUCCAAGAGCAAUGAUUAGCAUUUCCCUUUCUAAUUUGGUGAGUGGGCAACUAAGAUCCAACUUUGGAAAUAGAUGACAAUUUUUUUUUUUAAUAUUUAUUUGACCAAUGUAUGUAUUAUUAAAAUAUUUUAUAAUAUAAAACCAUGAGUCAAAUAGCAUAAUGACGUGUAGCAUGCAUCUUUGAUAAACUUUGAUUGAUUCAUUCAUUUAUGAAUCUUUGAUAAACUUUGAUUGAUUCAUUCAUUUAUGAAAAGCUGUCCCUCCUUCCCUAUGUCAAGGAAGCUUCUCUCCUUUCUUUUCCUGUGAAACCAAUGUGACUUUCAACUUUAAACUUAUAAAAUACACGGUUCUUGUUGACCUGUUCCACAUUAAGCUAUUUUUUUUGUCUUCUUUCUCUUGUCUAUCCUACACAAAAUAAUUGUAGUUUUAUACUUUUUUUUUUUUAUAGAUUAAGAAAAAAAUAAUUGACAAAAAUUAUAAAUGAGUAAGAAGGGUUUUCAAUUUUAUAAAAUAACCUUUUGUAAUUUAUAAUUUUAAUUAUAUAAUCUAAUAUAAUACUCUCCCCGUUUGACAACCUCGUUCGUAAAAUAAAUUAUCACAAAAUAAAUCAACCAUUUUCAAUCUUUAAUCUAAUAUGUUAAUCACAUUUCGUUACGACUUACAUCGCUAUCAUAUUUUAUCUUUUUUACUUGAUACAAAUAUUACUCUCGAUUUAAUAGAUUUUAAUUUGUAUUUAUAAUAAUAAUGAUAAAUACAUCGAUUACUUAAGAAAUACCCUUUAGUAAAAUAUUAUUCUCUAUCUAUUUGUAUAUUAUUUUAAUCUAGACUGGUCAAAUAAGUCACUUGUGGAUAAAGAAAAUAAUUUAAAAGUGACACGCAAAACUUUUUUAGAAAAAAAAAUAGGCACACGCUAAUGCAAAAUUAGGAAGAAUAAAUUUUUAGUACAAUUAGAAAAUAAUAACUAAUUUGCUAUGUAAAAAUUUUUAUUUUGAUUCUCUCAAAAAAAAAAUAUUUAUUUUGAGAAACUUUUUAAUGCUUUUCAUUUGACGCGUAAACUUUUUAAUGCUAAGAACAACAUUAAAUUUUUUCAUCAUAUAUAUAGGAAUAUUGGAAUAUUACUUGCCCACAAAGUUUUCUCAAAAUAAGGAAAAAAAAACUUCCACAAUCAACAUUCUUUCCUAUUUCAUAUAUUUUUUCCCUAUAAUUUCGUUAUAUUUUUAAUACCUCUUUCACACUCUUUGAAUCAAGCCUUAUAAUACUAAUAGCUUUAAUAUAUAUUUCUUCAUCAAAGUGUAUCAAACUUUGUUUUCUCUCUCUUUUUAGUUUUCACAUUCUCUUUAGAUUUAUGAUCAAAAGCUUUAUGUUUUUUUUUGUUUUUGUUUUGACUGAAUCAAUCUUUGUUAUUGCUUUUUAGUUGAAACAGUUGAAUUUGAGAAUCUGAAAAAAUGGGGUGUUUGUUAAGUAAAGACAAAGAUUCAGAACCAGAACACAACAAUGGUGGUUAUAGAUAUGGUGAACACAAUCAUAGAAACAAUCAUGAACAAGUCAACACAUCAAGAACAGCACCAACAAGUUCUUAUCAACCUCAAAUACCAACCAAGCCUUCAUCAAUUUCUGCUCCAAGUCCAAAACCUCUUAUCAAGCAAGACAGUAACACAAUCCUAGGAAAAGGUUUGGAAGAUGUGAAACAAUUCUACACACUAGGUAAAGAAUUAGGUAGAGGCCAAUUCGGAGUAACGUUUCUAUGCACCGAGAAUUCAACUGGAUUGCUUUAUGCUUGCAAGUCAAUUUCCAAGAGGAAACUUGUGAGUAAAUCUGAUAGGGAAGAUAUAAAGAGAGAGAUUCAGAUCAUGCAACAUUUGAGUGGUCAACCAAAUAUUGUUGAAUUUAAAGGAGCUUAUGAGGAUAGGAAUUCAGUUCAUGUUGUUAUGGAACUUUGUGCUGGUGGUGAACUUUUUGAUAGGAUCAUUGCUAAAGGACAUUAUAGUGAAAAAGCUGCUGCUUCUAUUUGUAGACAGAUUGUUAAUGUUGUUAAUAUUUGUCAUUUUAUGGGAGUUAUGCAUAGGGAUCUGAAACCAGAGAAUUUCUUGUUGGCUAGUAAAGAUGAAAAUGCACUUCUUAAGGCUACUGAUUUUGGUUUGUCUGUUUUCAUUGAAGAAGGUAAAGUUUUUUUGAUCCACUCAUUUGUCAUUUCAUAUUUUUUUUUAUCUUAAUUAUGUGGUCCUUACAAGAAAAGAGUCACGGUAAUCCAAAGUCCGGCUGAAAGUUAAGCUAAGUCGGGUCAAUAAUUGGGACCUGAGAGUGUGCUCCUCCUUAAGGUCUCAGGUUCGAUUCUCUCCAGUGCCAAUUUGAGGGGCUAAUUUAGCUUCUUCAAAAAAAUAAUUGUUCCAUCCAGAGUUCGAAUAAUAGUAUUUUUGGUUCCAAUUCCUAUAGCAAAUUUUAAUGGUUUAUAGUUCAUGUUUAACUAAUAUGUUAGCUUUAGAAAUUUUAAUAUAUGGUUGUUCAAGUUUCCUUUCUUAAAAGGGUGGGUGAGGGAGACUAGUUGGUCUGUUUGGAUUGACUUAUUUCAGUUUAUCUCCUGGCAUAAUCAUUUAUGAAAGUGCUUGUGAGAACUUAUGCAGACAGCAUAUGACAUGUCCGUCAUUUGUUUUCAGCUUAUUCUCAUAAGCUCUUCAGGAUAGCUUAUGAAAACAGCUUAUAGCGUAUAUGAAAACAGUUUUGACUUUAUUUGAUCUUUUUGUCAUAGAAAUAGAAAUAGCUUAUAUAUAAGCACUUAUAUGAUAAGCAUUAAUGCUAUAUCUAUCCAAGCAGUUACUAAAGUAGCUCUGUUGACCAUAGUUGUUGAUAGCUUUGUUUUGUCAGAAGCUGUCUUGGAUUUAGGUUGGAAUUAACUUCUGCCAGUUCAUUUACCAGUAGCUUCAUAUUAUUGUUCUUUUCUCUCCAUGUGUAUGCAAUUAUGACCAAUGAACUAUAAUAAUAUAUGCUUGAAAUGUGGAUAUAAAAUUCACACCAUGUAUAAUGUGAUGGGCCAUCUUGCAUUUAUGAGGGAUAAUCAGACUUUCUGAAAACUCAAUCUUAUGAAGCAAAAAAAAUCACAUUGUGCAUCCUAAUUCCUGAACAUGUUUUAUAAGCUGUCAAUGAUCUUGCAUUUCAUCAUUUUGUUUUAUGUAUUUCAUACAUCACACUCAUUGAGUUCUUAGGUUUCAUGAAAUUCUUAUGUAUUUCAUACAUAACUUUCAUCAGGAGUAGUGUGGAAAUGUUUAAAUUGAAAAGUGUAUUUAUUCCUUCAUGAGAUAAAGUUAUGUAAAUAUUAGGAAGUAAGAUUAUUACUUGUUGAGAAACUUUAUUUCCAUGAUUAUCUUUGAAAUGCUUUAAGCGCGCCCACUCACAGAUAUUUCUGACUCGAUAUAUGAAUAUCUUUUGAUUAUCUGAAAUAAAAGCAAGAUUAUGUACCUAAAUUUCUCCAACGAAUGCUUUUCAGGAAAGGUGUAUCGCGAUAUAGUCGGAAGUGCUUAUUAUGUUGCUCCAGAAGUUCUUCGUCGUAGAUGCGGGAAAGAAAUAGAUAUAUGGAGUGCAGGAGUUAUACUAUAUAUCUUACUUAGUGGUGUCCCUCCAUUUUGGGCUGGUAAACUAUGAUUUUUGAUUUUCAAACAAUAGAAGAAUUAUCAACUAGUACAAAAAAUUUAAAGCAUGUUUUUUAGGCUUAUCUAAUUUUGAUUAUCACAUAUUUUUCUGUAGAGACUGAAAAGGGAAUAUUUGAUGCAAUAUUGGAAGGUCAUAUUGAUUUUGAAAGUGAACCGUGGCCUAAAAUUUCAGACAGCGCCAAGGAUCUUGUUCGUAAAAUGCUUAUACAGGAACCGAAGAAACGCAUUACCGCUGCACAGGUUCUAGGUGUGUAAUUCUGAUAAUUGCAUGGAACUUCUAUUAUCAAUUAACAAAAAAUGCAUGAUUGCUUCUGUUAUUUCGCAGCGUAUUGAUUAUUUAUUUAAUUAUGAAGCACGGAUACGGACACGACACUGACACGCCGACACAACAAAUAAUUUGAAAAAAUGACAUAAUUCAGUGUAAUUACAAGUGUCGGUGUUGGACACGACACAUGUCUGACACCGGGACACGCCUAAUCCGAGGAGUGUCCGUGCUUCAUAGAUUACAAAUUUGCAUGUCAUUUAUAGAAAAAGAAAUGUAAUCACUACGCGUUUCUCAGUACAACUGUUGCUGAUAGAACAUUGUUUUAGCAUUCAUAUGAAUUUUCUUGGUUUGUGGAUUUUAUUUUCUUCACUAACUGAUUCAUAUGUUUUGCAUGAUGAUUAGAGCAUCCUUGGAUUAAAGAUGGUAAUGCUUCUGAUAAGCCAAUAGACAGUGCAGUUCUUUCAAGAAUGAAGCAAUUCAGAGCUAUGAAUAAACUAAAGAAACUUGCAUUGAAGGUAUGUCCAUCCAGAAUCUACAUUAAGAGAGACCAAAGUGAUCUUUCAUGUUUUUUUAUUUUUUUUUAUUUUUUAUUUUUUAUUUUUUUAUAGAUUGUAUACUAAAUAUCCCUUAGGCACUGUUUGGAUAAAAGGUUUAAUUAAGCGCUUAUCACUUAGGUGCUUUCGCAUAGGAAAUUCCUAUAACAAAAGAUAAAAUAGUCAAAUAAGCCAAUCCAAACAGGCUUUCCUGUUUGAAUAAACAGCUUAAUUAAGCGCUUAUAGUAUAAAGGCUUAUCAUUUAAGUGCUUAUGCCUAAGCUACUUCUAUAACAAAUGAUAAAAAUAAGUCAAACUGUUUUACAUAUGAGGUAUAAGCUGGUUUCAUAAGAAAUCCUAGGUUGCUUAUGUUAAAUAAGGCAAUCCAAACAAACUUAGUCUAUGGAUCCAUUUCAAACCAAGGCUAAUUUCAAGUCAUAGCUUCUUGAUAAUUCUGUUAAUGUUAAUCAAUGGUUACAAGUUUACAACAUAACCAUUAAAACAAUCACUCUUGUGAUCUGGUUAUGACUCUCAAUUUCACCAAUCUAUAUAUUUGAUCUCCCAAUUCAGAAACUCAAAGAAUUUACAAUAUUCUUCUAGGUGAUUGCUGAGAAUAUGUCCGAAGAAGAGAUCCGAGGUUUGAAGGCGAUGUUUACAAAUAUGGACACAGACAAUAGUGGUACAAUCACCUAUGAAGAACUAAAAGCAGGAUUACAAAGACUUGGCUCAAAGCUUUCAGAAGCUGAAGUUAAGCAACUCAUGGAAGCUGUAAGCUAUUCUUAAGUUUUGUCCACUAUUUCAUUUUUCUCACUUUUUGAAAAUUUUCCUAACUUACAUUUCUUGGAAUAAUAUUUAGGCUGAUGUAGAUGGAAAUGGCACAAUUGAUUGCAUUGAAUUCAUCACUGCUACAAUGCAUAGACACAAGUUAGAAAGAGAUGACCAUCUUUACAAGGCAUUCCAAUAUUUUGACAAAGACAGCAGUGGGUACGUCCUUCAUCUUGCAUUAGGCCGUUGAAUUUUUUAUUUAUUUACUAAUACCUGCCAAGACCCUGAAAAUAUCUCGAGUUUCACUUUACUACCUAACGAUACAUGUGAGUCGUAUCUCAAUUUGAUACUACUAUCUAGUGUGUAUCUAUUUAGACACGAAUCCCAUCUUGAAUCCCGAUUUGUUAUGACGGAUCCCGAUUCCCAUCAUAAACGAAUCCAGAUGCAUUCUAAUAAAUCACUACCUCAACUUAGUGUAGCCAUUUUAUGUCAACUUUGUAUAACAACAACUUUUCAUGUCAUUUGAUAUAUAACUUUAAUCUUGAAUUAUAUUGAGGUUCAUAUAUGAUGAUAUAUCAACUUAUAACUUUGUUUUGUCACUUGGUUUUAAUUAAAAAUGACAUAUUUUGUUGACAAUGUAUCUUACAAUUCAUACAAAGAUUUGAUUCACAAUUAAGAAAAAAGAUCUUCCAAUUAACAAUUUGAAUCUCAACUUUUUAAGCUUGCACGUGGUAUACAAUCUCGCUUUAGGCGUUACAUUUUGUUGGCUCAGUCCUAACUUGUUCUAUGUUUCAAGUUUGUUGUCAAGGUCAUGUCUGUCAAUUAAGUUCAUGUUUAAAUUGACGGUGACUUUGCCAAAAUCAUGCCUCAAAGUGUAGUUUCUGUCAAAAUCACAUUACACGUCUUGAUUCAGCCAAAUUCACUGCUGAUUCAAACAUGCACCAAGUGUCAUGCAUAUCCAAUGAAAAGACUAAUUGAUCCCAUUUGUAGGUUUAUUACAAGAGAUGAACUGGAAACAGCCAUGAAAGAAUAUGGUAUGGGAGAUGAUGCCACAAUCAAGGAAAUUAUAUCUGAAGUUGAUACAAUUAUAUCUGAAGUGGACACAGAUCAUGUAAGUCUAUUUUCUUGUGUUUGCUACAAUUUGUACUUUAGUUUCAUAGUUUAACCCUCAGUUUUGUUGGUCCACAGGAUGGUAGAAUCAACUAUGAAGAAUUCUGUGCAAUGAUGAGAAGUGGAAACCAACAGCAAGUUAAGCUAUUCUAAAGUACUUCUGAGAAGUGCUUCUAAAAUAUCAUAUCAUUGAUAGGCAUGUAAAGUUUUUGAUUUUGGAUUUUUUUUUCUGUUUCUUUUUCUUUCCAUAGACAAUUCAUUUUUGAGUCCUCUUCAAAUCUGUCUUGGACACCGGUUAUAGACAUAGCAAAGUUGAUACUUGAAUAAGAUUACGAUGAGUGGUUUAUAAGUCGCCUACUAAGGCCAUUUUUAAGGACAAAACUGUGAAGGUUCACAUAAGAGCUAAACAACGGUGCAGUAAACUCGAUGUUAUUUUUGUUAAGAUAUCGAUUUGAGACAAAUUGGAACUACUAUAACUUUAGUUCAUUAUUUGAUGUCAAACACAUUAUGCCACACCAAUAAUGCUAGGAGUUAAAUGGGUUGGAUUAUGAUAGACAAUGCCAUUGUAGGAACAUUGAAAGUGAGAUUUGUGUUUGCAAUAUUAGUUUGAAGGACAAAUUCAAUAGCUAUCUAAUUCAUGGUGAAUUGUAAAAAUCAAAACUUGUUUCCAAUUUAGAAUCUAUUACAGAUUCAUAGUGUUAUGCUCAGCGGGGUGGUGGUGAGGAUUGUGAUUGGGUUUAUCUACCUUCGAUAGAAAAUAAUGGUGAUAUUAUAUCUUGACUAUUACUUUUUUCAUCCUAUGGUUUAUUCAAGCAUUCUAUUUAUUUAUUUUCGAAAAUAUCCUUUGUUCGGAUUAUGAAAUCUGAAUCAUAUUGGAGGGAUUUUCGGAUUCUAAAAUUCGAAACAUACAAAAUAAAAGGAAAUGUGUUGUAAUUGGUAUCAAAGGUAUAUGACAUGUCAAAUAUUAAAAUCUCACGACUUAUAAAACAGAGGGAGAAUUUUAAUUUUGAAUAUACCAUCAAAGGCAUAGUAUUUUCCAACAAGAAUGCAUGAUGCACAUGCCUCUCUUUAAGUCUAAGUGAACUCAAUUUUAUUUAGUAAAAAUUUGAAUUGCAGAUUAUUUCUUAUCUUUGGAGCAUGCAUCACGUCCUAGAGAAUAAUUUCCUUUUUGGACGAGAGUUGCAACUUCAUGUCACGAAUGCCAAUGACUUGAAAGGUGUAGGAAUAUUCUAACAAUACUUUCUUAUUUUUAGCACUCGUGUAUGUUUUGAGCAUAGGUCAAUCUUAAUAGACAUGAAGUGAGGCGUUAAUAUUUGUUUAUCCACCAUUCACUUGAUCGACCAACUAGAUUGAUUUAACUAGUCAUAUUAGUGAAUUUUUCUUUGGUUAGGUUAGGUUGCGGGGUAGCACUUACCCGCUCAUAUACUUGCUAGACAUAUGAUCUUGUUUCUCACAAUUGCAUUAAAUAAACUGUGAACCAGUCAUUUCUUGAUGGUGGCUACUGAUUUGCAUUCUAGGACCUUUUUGGGUUCAUUUCUCUUGGAUGUUAGAGUUACUUACUCACAGUGCAGUUCUGAUUUUUGAAAACAAAUUUCAAAUGGAUUCUGAACAACGUAUGUGAAUUUCAUAGUGUUAUUGUUUAUAACAACAAUCACUUCAUCAUGUUCAUUCGAAAGAUGUAUUUCUAUAAGCUUUAUAUCCUUAUUGUAUUUGGGGACAAUAAAAACCGAGUCAAUAAUUUCUUCUAUAGACAUGGCAGAAGGAAAUGUCUUAAAAUUGAUGGAAUUCCAAUUAUUCUGUCUUAAAAUUAUUGGUUUUUAAAUUUCUAACCUGUUAUAUUUGGAUUUUCAAAGUCUAUUUUGAAAAAGAAUUUUCAUCUACUGAAGUUAUUACUUGGUUUAGGCAUGGCCAGGUCACUCUCUUUACGUUUGGUGGCACUGCUCAAAAUUGUGCAAGGCAGACUAUCAACCACACCACCUCUAGGAUAAAACAAGACCAACAAUAGUUGUGCGAUUAACUACUGCACUCUAGCCAACCGGUUGAGACUUACACCCGCAAAUAUGGCUAUUAAGGUCACUCAAAUUUAAUAAUGAAACCACUCUAAUAUGGUAUGUAACCAUUCUAUUAUGGUAUACCUUUAACUUCUCCAACUAUGGUACUAUGACCACUCAAAUAUUAUGCUACCACCAUUCUAUUACCUCUAACUUCUUCGAGGGAAGGAAAUAUCAAAAGAGACUAUACUCUUAAGGUCAUUCUGAAUUUUGAAGGGACAUUAUUCUUGAAAAGAAACUAUGAUCCUAAAAAUACUCUUUAUCUGAAGGGACUUGUAUUAUCGAAUCGACUAUGUUCUUAAGAUCAUUCUUAAUUUUGAAGUGACAUUAUAUCUCGAAAGAGACUAUGAUCUUAAGAACACUCUUAAUUUUGAAAGGACAUAAAAGAAAAGGGAAAAGUAGCUCUGAAAUACAUCGAGCAAAAAGAGGGAGAAUAAUGAAAGAGUUCUUGACAACUCAAUGGAACUCUUUGGUGUGUUUUUUUGAACAUAGUAGAAUCCCUUUAUUUAUAGAGACUUUGAAAUUGUAUUUGGUAAAGAUUGCGACAAUAGUUACUCUUAUGGAUAAGAUCAAAAGGAAACUAACCCAUUAAUGAGUUCAAAACCUCUUGUGGAUAAGAUCAAAAUGAAACAAACCCACAAAAGUGGAGGAAACAAACUAAUUGAAUAUGAACGAAGAAAAGAUAGAGAAUUCAGUUGGAUUAAUAUUCUUAUCACAACCAACAUAAACUAAGGAAAGUGAUAUCUUUAAAUCUUAUCACAUCAAAUAAUUUUUUUCUACAAUAAUGUUUUUUUUCAAGAAGGGGUACAAUAAUGUUCAUUUUAAUAGAAUAACAUAGAACAUUGAGUUUGUUAUAAUUUGAAAGUGACAAAUGUCUAUAUCUAUACUUUUAAUUAAAAUUAAACUUUCAUAAAAAAAAACACCGUUCAUAAUUUACAAAUGUUAGCACAAAAAAAAAUAUCGGAUAGAAAAAUCUUGAUUGAAACUUUACGCUAGUAAAAAAUAAUAAUUACUAUUAAUUUUACGAUUAUAAUAUCACAAUUUAAACGUUAUUAAUGUGUGUGUUCUAUUUUAUAUGGGACCUCACACUCAAUUUUUUUUUUUUAAUUCACACAACAAACAUUAGAUCAAAAUUUUUCAACCUUCCAAUUUCAUUCAAACUUCACAUCAAUGUUCCAACAAAUUCAAUUGCCUUGUGAUGUAUUAGCGAUUUAAAGUCAUAAUAGGUUAGGUCUAUCUACGUAUAGGUUUGGUUAUGCUCCCUAGGGGUGGACAUUGGGCGGGUUCAGGCUCGAAAGCUCGACCCAAGCCAACCCAUGGGUGAAGAUGUUACACCCAAUUCCGUCCAAUUUUCAAAUUCGGUGUUUACAGGUUGGGUUCGUGCAGGUCUCCGGUUAGCGGGUCUGUUAACACGGUUUGAAUUAAACAGAAAAUAUUGUGCAGAAGCUUAAAAAAAGCUUCAGCUCGGUAUAAGAAUGAAUGCUCACACCAUUAUGCAAAAAUGUAAAAUGAAAGAGAAGGAUUAAAGAAGAAAGAGGAGGUCACGUGCAUAUGUUUGUGUGUUGACUGAAGCAAUUGAAUUCAAUAAUAAUUAAUAAUUAUAAUAAAUAAUAAUGAAGGUACUAGCAUAGUCUAACCCACUCACUAUAAACUAGGUGUGUCAUUCUCCUAGGAGUAUCACAUAGUCUUGUCCAUUCACAUCACAAUUUAAUAUUUAAUUAAAUACAAUUAAUUAAUUGCAUGUCUGUUAGGACUGGUUCGGGGACUGAGGGGUUCAAUUUGUUCACCGAACUCGUAUGUGUUAACCCAUUCUAAAUCGUAAGAAUCUCGGAUACGAGAUACGAUACCGAUACGAUAAUGUAUUGAUAUGGAAAAAUUUCAAAAAAUAAGAUACAAUACGGCUAGGAUACGUUAAUAAAAAAAUUAUAUAAUUAAAUAUACAAUAUAAUUAUAACCAUUUUUUUAAUAUACAAAUAUAUUAACAAACAAAAGUAACCAGUUAUAUCUUUCAACAAAAAAAAAUAAAAUCAAUCAUAGGCUCGUAGCACAUCAACAUAAAUAUAAAUAAUAGUGAUGAUUAAGAGAGUGAUGAUUAGUCAAUUACAUACACAAUAUAUCCCAAAAGGAGCACCAUCAAUGAUAUACUAUAUCCAAAAUGAACAUUGUUAGUGUUAUACUAUGUCGAUCCAAAAAAGAAGCACUAUAUCCAUAAAAGAAUACAUCACUAUUCAAGAGUUAAGUUAUUUUAGUCAACAUUAAUUGGGAAAUAUUGGGGCAGGUAUCGAUGCAGGAUAAUUAUCGAAUACUUUUCUGAUAAGUAUCGGGAAGUAUCAGAUAAUUAUUUUUUUUAAAAAUAAAAUUUAAUCUUCAGAUAUUCUCUUGAUACGUAUUGGAAAGUAUCAAACAGGUAUCGGUACAAGAUACGCACGGGAUACGAUGCGUCAUCCAUUUUGAAGUAUCAAGGACUUCACAAAUAAUUAGUUAUGUCAGACCCCUAUAAAACCUUCUUAUUUUCUCUUUUUUGCCUCGGUUCAGGCGGGUUAUUCUAGGUUAAGGGUUUCUCUCCUCCUCUAUGCCCCCUUCAUUUUUUGUAUCUUCUCUUCUCUUUAAUUAAUAUACUUGGAUGUUACCUAAUCUAGGCACAUCUUUGCUUAAAAAAAAAGUUGUAUGUGAUUUUAAAUUUUAUGCAUUACAUAACUACAGGUGGCCCGCUUGUAACAAUUAGUCAAGUUCAGCCAUACCAUAUUUCUAGAGUUGUCAAAACGGGCUAGUUCAUAUGGGCCGGCUCGAAAGCCCAAAUAAAACGCAGGGUUUGGGCCUAAAAAUUGCAGCCCAUAUUUUAUCAGGUUUUUUAGCCUGGUUCGAAAAAGCCCGCGUAAUGGAAAUUACAGCUUUCUUACCGUCAAAAGGAGAGGAAAGAAUGUUCAUGGCUUUCAAUUGUACAUGACUUUCAGACCAGACUUUUAUUAUAUUAUGUAUGCGGUACCUUUAUGUUCAUGGCUCUCAAUUUUUUUUCAAUGUUAAAGGCACCCUUCAUUUCUUUUUCUGUUUUGAUUUUAAUUUUGUUUAUGUUUUGUAACAAUUUUGUGUAAGUUCCGAAAUUGUCAUGUUUUUUUUGUUUUGUUCGGAACCAUGAAACUUUAAACUGUUUUUUUUUUUUUUUUUUUAAGAUAAAAACUGUCAUAACUUGUACUAUAAUAUAUUGACAUAUACGAUCAAAUACAUUUUUUCUUCUUUACGGGAGGUUAGGACUUUUCAGUGGCCAUGAAAUCAUAAGACUUUCUAAAAUUUGGUUCAACAACUUUAAUCGCUUCAUUUAACUUGUUUGUAUUCUUUGACCUCUUAAUUACUGAAAUGAAUCAUCAGUGCCUUGGUUCCUUUUUGUUUUUUUCUUACGUUUGUGUUCAAUUAAAGGAUUUAAAAAAAAUAAAAAAUAAGGCGGGCUGGCCCGUUAGCCCGGGAGCCCGUAUAGGCCGGCUCAGGCUCAAUUAUUCCAGCCCUUAUUUAAAUAGGGUUUUUUAACCCGAUCCUAAAAAACCCGUUACCCGUUCAGCCCGACCCGAAAUGGGCCGGAUAGCCCGUUUUGACAGCUCUACAUAUUUCAACCUCAUUUUCAAAUACUCCAUUUAUAUAUAAACGCACCCAAUAUACAAAUCAAUCAAAAGUAACACAAAUCUUAUUAAUUGGUUUUUUAUUCAAUAGUUAUAUUGUUUCUUUCCUCUCGUGAUAGCUAACAAUUUAGCAUGGCUUUACUAUCCUCUUCAUCUCUAAUGUUCACUGUGCGAAGGUGCCAACCACAGCUGGUACCUCCAGCUGCACCCACUCCUCGUGAAUUUAAAAUACUAUCUGACAUAGAUGAUCAAAAAAGUCUCCGUUGCAAUAUUCUUCUCAUCUUUAUCUAUCAUCAUGAACCAUUAAUGACAAAGAAAGACCCUGUUAAGGUUCUUAGACAUGCACUCUCACAAGUACUUGUGCAUUACUAUCCAUUUGCGGGAAGGAUUAGGGAAGGAGUUGGACAAAAGUUAAUGGUGGAUUGUACUGGUGAGGGUGUCAUGUUCAUUGAAGCUGAAGCUAAUGUAACACUUGAUGACUUUGGUGACGGUUUGCAUCCCCCAUUCCCAUGCGUCGAUGAACUUCUAUACGAUGUUCCAGAUUCGGUACUAAAUAUUGAUCGUCCCAUUCGACUUAUACAGGUCAAGUUAUAUUAUUUCUCACAUCCUUUAAAUUUUACAGGCCUCACUUUUAACUUAAUCACCGUUUUUCUCAAUGGAGGAUUGAUAUCAUCAUAGUAUUUCAUACAACAAAAUUUAUUUUAUUUUUCACAAGUAAAAGUAUAUUACUCGGACUCUCGGAGUACGAGGGGUACACACUACAGUGUAUGAUUUUAAAGACUAGAUAGAACAACAAGAUUAAUGCGACUGAUUUUAUAAUUUAUUGACCAAUUUAAACUUUUGUUAAUUGAGAGAUUAGACUUUUAUAUUCCUACAAUUGGCUUGCAAUGUGUGGGCACGAAAUCAGACCCUGCAGAUACCUGCCUCAACUUUGCACAAAUUAUGAUGCAAAAAAUUACUUUCUCCGAUUACAUUUAUAAACAAAAAUGUACUCCCUCCGUUUUAAAAUGAGUGUCGCUUUAGUCAAUUGCACACAGAUUAAGAAAUUGAAUAAAAUAGUCAAAUGUCAUAGCAAUUUUACUAAAAUAACCUUACUUUAUAAGAAAAAUACAAACUUAAAGUUGUAUUGAAAAUUGUGUGAGAGAGAAAAGUUGGAGUAUUUAUUGAAGGUAAAGUUGGAAGAAAAAAAUUUAAAGUUGCAUUGAAAAUGUAAAGCGACAUUCAUUUUGAAACAAUUUUUUUGGCUAAAACGACACUCAUUUUGAAACGGAGGGAGUAUUUUUUAAGUUCAUUGAAUACAUAAUAUAUUUGAUUUAUAUAUUGACCAAAUACAUUAAGUAUUAAAUAAAUUUAAAAAAUAUUUUUUGUUCUUAUAAAUGUGACCAGAGGAAGUACUUUUGAUCAUGGUUUGGUUAGAAUCUUAUCCGUUAUUGUUGGGACCAUAUCUUAUCCGUUAUUGUAUUGUUGGGAUCAUGAUACCUGUUUGUUAAAUAUAAAGUAUUCAUUUUGUCCAAAAGAAAAAGUGUACACUUGUUAACUUCCAUAUGUUUUUAGGUUUGUCUAAAAUAACAACCAUAUAUUUAUAUAUAGGAUUUUGUUAAAAGCCACCCUGAAUAUGUCUUUUAGCAACCCACACUCCAAGGUGUGAUUUCCACUUUUUAGUUAUAACUUUGUUAAAAAACACCUUCAUAAAAAUUAAUUGGUGUCUUUUAACAAAUGCUCAUAGAAUAAAUUGCUAAAAGACACCUUCAUAAAAAGUGUCUUUAGUAAAACCCUAAAUAAUGAUUCUCUGGCAACAACGAUGUUUCUUGUUCCACACUGAAGAGCGAUUCUGGUGAUGAAUUUGAUAGAUCAAUUUUUGGAAUAUCAUUCCUAAUCAUUUUGUAUAUCAGUUGCAUAACAAUAACAAUGAACAAAUCUUCAAACUGGGCUUGGUUAUUUAUGGUAGAUGUUAUUUUUGCAUCUGUCAAAAUUGAGCUUUAUAUUUUAUGUUUCUCCACCUGAUUCAUGGCAAGGGAGUUAUAAAUAUUUGAUUUCUGCUCUUCCCUCUGCACAAAACACUCGUGCCCUGCAGUCUUGCCCAAAAUACCUUUGCGUUAGUUAACUAACGCAAGUGUAAAACUAUGCGAUAGUUAACUAACGCUGUGUCAAUUAAGAUGCACAUGUGUAAAACACUGCGUGAGUUAACUCACGCUCUACUGAUAUACCAGUACAACAUUUAAUGUUGUACUGAUAUGCAUUGAAUGCAAAUUGUGUAAUCAAUGACCCGUAACCUUAACACGCUCGUAAUUGAACCGAAUUACGCCAGUUUAACAAGAUUAUCGGAUCAUACGACAUAAUCGAUCCAAAUUACACAAAAACAUCGUUUUUCUCAUAAUCACAUAAUCACACGUAACGAUCCAAACGGUCCAAAUUACACAAAUUCACCGGUAAUGACCCGUAAUCACUUAAUCACAAUUAACGAUACGUAAACGAUCCAAAUUGCAUGAAUAUGCACUUUAAUUUCCCAAAUCACAUAACGGUCCAAAUAACCAAAAUUCACCGUUUUUCUCAAAAAGCACAUAACCACAUAUAAACGAUCCAAAUUACACAAAUCCGUCUUUAAUGACGCGUUAUCACUUAAUCGCACAUAAUGACACAUAAACGAUCCAAAUUACAUCAUUUUGUCCUUAAAUUCUCAAAACCACAAAAUCUACAUAAACGAUCCAAAUUACACAUAAACACAAAUUCAUUAAAAUUCAACAAUACAUACACAAAUUCGAACAAAUUACGAUAUUACACGUUAAUAAAUAUUACACUUCAAUGGAUCUGACGUAAAUAUGUAAAAGGUUAUUUUCAACCAUCACGCGAAACAUAUAAUCAACGUCGCUAUCAUCUUUGACUAGUUGUGGAAAAAACACGGUCUUCCAACGGUCCUCUUCAUUAUCCUCCCCCAAGUCCACGCCUGGUACUUGUACUACUACAUAAUAUGUUCUGUGAUUUGAACCAAUAUGGAUAAAGAAGUCGUCAAGUUUUGCCUUUUCGUCCAACUUGUCAGUGGGGUUUACAGUGAACCAAGCCCUCUUUUUCACAUCUACAUAACGGACAUGAAGUCUAACUGGAUCUUGUGCAUCUUCAGACAUGUUUCACUUCACAAAAUAUAAUGAAAAACAAAUAUGAGAUAAAAUAAAUAGUUGAAUAAUUAGAGACAAAGUAAUGAGAGCAAUAAUUGGUGUGACAUAACCGGCCACCAAAAAAAUAUUUCAUUUCAUAUAUUUAUAUAAUAUAUAAUAUUAGUUACAUAUUGGCCACAAAUCUCCAAAUUACAUAACCGGCCACCCAAAAAAAUGUUGGGGUGUAAUAUCACCAAAAAAUAGGACGAACAUCGACCGACCUAAAAGUGUCAUAAUCUAUAACCUAUCUAAGAAGUCUAUUGACAUUCCUAAAUUUCCCUCUUCUUCCAUGUCUUCCAUCACUUCAAAUUCUUGUUCUUUUUUUUUUUUCUUUCUUCGGAGUGGGAGUAUCAUCACAAACAAUUGGAUUGUGCUCAUUUGUUGGUUUCUUUGGCGGCUUCGGCUCCUUGGACAUGAGUUCAUUGAAAGCUUUUUUCUAUCCAAAAAUGCGAAAUGCCAAUUCUCCGCCUCACCAAUCUUGUUAUUAUUCCACUCCGUACAACUCGGUGGUAACAGACAACCUUCCUUCAAAAUAACAUGAAGAUAGUGGCCGGGUAUUAAGUAAAGACACAUGAUGUUGGAAUGUGGAUUAAAUGGAGGAGCACUUCGGAUUAGGAAAUAUAUCUCACAUGCACCACCCAUUUCGGGCAAAGUCAAUAGAACAAUGGCUCUUUUGUAGCAAGAAGCAAUAAUGCGACCCAUAUCCAGAGUGGUCAUCCACUUAUCUACCGGCGCAACACCAAUUGUAUAUUUUGGAGGGUAUAAACCAUUCGAGAUUUUGUUAUAACGCUCCUCCGUGUCAUAUAUCGGCAUGUAGCCACUCUUGUGAUUUUUCAACUCAUUAAUAAGUGCAUGACGAACCAAAACAUGAUCUUUCUCAUCCGUCCCCAAGUGCCUAGCUACCACCCAAAAUCCACAAUGACCAUCCCCUUUAACAUUUACAAUAUCUUCAACAAAAGGUCUCAUGAGAUUUGGAAUUUGUGAAAUGUAUGGGAUAUUCCAAAACGGAUUUGAAUUAGAGGAUGAAGCUUGUGAGCGGGAGUAAGUGCCAAGGCGUGCAUCUUUCCUCCUUAGAAGUGACCUCUUAGGUUGUGAACGUUGACUAUCCAAAUUUUGAGAGUCAAUAGUCUCCCACCUAGAGGGGAUUCGACCCGUUGAUGACACUUUGAGUGCAGUCCUGUUCCUUUUAGGUGCUCCCUUGGUUACCGCCUUUUUUGAAGGUGGAGACAAAAUUGUGGUUUCCGGAAAUGCUAUUUGACGCAUCAUCUCUUUGAUGUAGAGUUUCAUAUUGUAAGGGCUUGUCUUGAGACGUUCUUGAAUGCCAUUCCACUCUUCCAUCACGGAAAAAUCAUCAUCAAUCUCUUCUCCUUGUAGACUUAACCUUUCCAACGAGGGUAUAUAUCAUCCAAGACAAGAGGCAAUUUUUGGUUGCUCUUCAUGGCAAUAAUACACGCACAAGGUAACCUGUACGAUGUCUUUUGCACACACCCACAAUCUUCCUUAUCAAAGCCGAAUGUCUUGGAGCGUUUCAAUUCAUCAUAGAUAAGUUUCAAUGCGCUUCUAGAUACAUAACCCUCCAACUCUCUCAUCAUCUUGAUUUUUUUUGUAUUUGUGUUCCAAGACCGUUUUGUUCCUCCCAAAACUUCCUUGUAUCUCACCAAAUUGCACGACCAACAUCUUGUGAAUUUCAUCCCAACAUGAUGUGAAAUCACCCACGCUACUCCUCAAAUAUUUUUUCAACACUCCAUGAGCUGAUUCAACAAUGUUGGUGGUUCUACACCCUAGAUGCAAGACUUUAUUCGUCCAUGCCCUCACAAAUUUUUCCUUAAGGUUCAAAACCGUGGUUUCAACAUAUGUUAUGAAUUCCGGAAAUGGCAUGCAUACCUCUUUGAAUUUCAAUAAAUUACUUGCAUAUGAUUCCUCCGUAGGAGAUUCGACCAACUCUCUCCAAGAGAUCACGACUUUCUCAACAACCUCUCUAUUCUUCACCUUGUUCUUCUUCAAUUCUUUCUUUUCAACUUUUGCACUCUUAGGAGGCUUUGGGUGAACUUUACAAUCUGUGAUGCACUUAGCCCUUACAUUCUUCCCAAUAUGAAAAAAACGAAGCUUGGUGUAUGCUUCAGGUAAAACUGUGCCAAAGGAAUUCAUCAAAGUACCAUCCCUGUCGGUGAGAAUCACCUUAGGCAUGUUGUCUUUUGAGGACAAAAGACCUUUCAUCAUCGUAAAUGCCCAAUUAAAGUUAACCUCUAGUUCAAAGUGAAGAAAGGCGAAACCAACGGAAUACGUCAUUUUUGGAGAGGUGCAACCAACUAUCUCAAACAACGGCAUUCGGUAGCUGAUGGUUUUGUAUGUGGAGUCCAUGACCAAAACGGUCGAAAAAGUGUUGAGCAAUUUACUUGACUCCGGAUGAGCAAAAAAUAUGUCUUCAAGAGUGGUUUCCUCACUAUUGCAUCUUGUGUCAUAGACGUAUUUAUGCUCCACCAACUUCGAAAUCAAGUAUUGCAACUCGGUCAUGUUACCUCUUUCCCCCUUGCGCCAUCUUGUUCGCACAUUGUACACUUGCUUGAUAAUUGUCACACUUUCUUUGUUAUUUUGCUUCAAAUUAGUGAGAAUAUUCCGAGGCACCAUCAAGCUCUUUGUCAUGUCGAUAACUUUUUUCUUCUCCUCCGCACUAAGUCUACCUGCAAUAAGGUGUCCUUUUAACUUUUCCUCCAAGUCAUGGUUGUGCAUUCCACAAAGUAUUGCUAUCCACUAAUCAUUUUUAUCUUUAUCAAAUAAACCUUUCAACCUAAACGGACAAUUACAUUUCCUUGAGCCGAUGCCUUCAAGGUUUGGUUUCUUCCUCGUCUUAGGUGGCUUGUAUAUCCCACUCCUUUCACAUUGCAUCGUAAAGUACGACCUUUUUAAAACAGAUUUAUCUAUACAAACACCAAAUCCGGCUGUUACCCCUUGUCGACGAACCCAAGCAAGUAACUCUUCUUGCUCUCUCCAUCUUGCAUUUGUUGUAAAAAAUGAGGCGGUGUCGCGAGCUUCACAAACAACACCGAAAGGUACUGGUUUAGGUUCUUCAAUUUUACCAAUGCGAGCUUGAAUUGGAAUUUGGACUUUAAACGGUUUCACAUUAACGGUUGGUUUGACGUCGCUGGAAACUUCGCUAGAAGCUUCAUUUUUGGCUGGUUUCGGUUCAACGUCAUCACCCACGACAUUGUCAACCAUCUCACUAUAUAUCUAUUAAAUAAAAAAAGUGACAAAGGAAGAAUAAAUAAAUUACUUGUGAAACAAGCUAACGAAGAACAAAAGUGGCGCAAAAAAUUCAAAAAACAGGAUUGUACCGUGGCGUGACUUAAGUCACGCAACACAUUAACUCAUGGGUGACUUAAGUCACGCAUCCUUAACACUUGCGCAAGUUAACAUGCGCACAUAGCCCUACUGCCUAGGAAAACAGACGAACCAAGCACAAAAACCAUCAAAAUGAGAUGAGUUUUGAUGAUACAAUACCUGAUAUUUGGUGCUUGAUGAGCGUAGAAACUUGCUUCAUGACGAUUUACAAUGCUUUGGGAUGAGGAUUUUGACCCAAAAAUUCGCACUUUUUGGGUUUUUGAAGGUGGAGGGAAAGAAAAUGGUGCUUGGAGUAUGGACUUAUGGGUUUUGUACGAAAACAUUAACUCUGCGUGACUUAACUCACGCUGCGUGAGUUAAGUAGCGAAUCGUUACUUAAGUAGCGCAGGGGUAUAUUUGGAAAGGCCGCAUGGCACGAGUGUUUUGUGAAGGGGAAAGAGCAGAAAUCUAAAUAUUUUAUAAAUCAAUUCAAGUAAUUAAACAAACAUUCAACAUUUCACCAAAAAAAAAAAAAAAAACAAACAAACAUUCAAUAAGUUAAAAUCUAAUUUAUAAAUUGAUGUAUCAAAUUAAGGUAUGAAAUUCAAAUUAGGUAUGGAAGGAGGAUCCAAUUUUCAACUAGUUUAUACAAAAUCCAAUUUCCCAAAGUGAAAACCAAAUAAGCAGUCGGAGAAUCGCCGAUAUUAUUGAAUCAAUGAUGUUUUUCCAUGAGGGAAAAGGAUGCAGGGGGGAGGGAGGGAGAGAGAGAGAGAGAGAGAGAGAGAGAGAGAGAGAGAGAGAGAGAGNNNNNNNNNNNNNNNNNNNNNNNNNNNNNNNNNNNNNNNNNNNNNNNNNNNNNNNNNNNNNNNNNNNNNNNNNNNNNNNNNNNNNNNNNNNNNNNNNNNNNNNNNNNNNNNNNNNNNNNNNNNNNNNNNNNNNNNNNNNNNNNNNNNNNNNNGAGAGAGAGAGAGAGAGAGAGAGAGAGAGAGAGAGAGAGAGAGAGAGAGAGAGAGAGAGAGAGAGAGAGAGAGUCAGAAUAGUGUCAGAAUAGUGUCACGUGAGUUACUAGAGGGAAAACUCAAUAACAACCAUCAAGAUUAAUCUAAGGGCCAUUAUUUCACCCUCUCACCUCUCAUUAUAAAAUCUCCUCUUAUUUAAUACAUCCCCUAUAUGGAUGUGUGUGUGUGUGUCUAUAUAUAUAUAUAUAUAUAUAUAUAUAAUCAUGCGGUUAAAGGAGCUAUGAAUUCAAGUAUAUGACUUUGCUACUUUACAAGCAAGCUUGAGCUUGUCAUUAAGGGAGUUGAGGUUAGAUUACUCUAAUGUGGCGAGUCUUAUAUUAUCCCAUAAUGAAUCAGAGGUAAUUUAACUAUAAUGAUAAGUUGGAUUAAAUUUUGGAACAAAGGAGAUGGAGAUCACAUGUUUAAUGAAAGAGAUGAAGAAAUUUGACGUUCUUGAGAUGAAAAUGGUUACGGAUUGUAAUAAAAAAAACCUAACAAUGAGGCCUACAUCACUGUUGAAGAAUUGGGGGUAAUUUACUCGUAAACAAAUAUGAUUCAAUUUUGGAACGAAAAAGAUGGAUAUCACACGUUGAAUGAAGAAAAUGAAAAAGUUUGAUGUUUUUUUUUUUAUAUUAAAAUGGUAACUGAUUGUAAGAAGAAAGAUGAAGAAAAAAGGAAUUUUUUAUAAGAAUAAAUUACCUACAAUUCGUCAAGGAUAAUGUAGAAAAAACCGUUUAAUAUAUAACAACUUAGUAUUAAGGAACGAUGUUUACUUACAACUGUAAGUUGUUGUGUUAUGUCAGAUUUGACACGUGCUAAGUUCAGAGAAGUGAAUUUUGGAUGGGGUGAGGCGAAGUAUGGUGGAGUUGCAAAAGCUGGGGCUGGGGGUUUUCGUGGAGCAACCAUCAUUGUCCCACAUAAGAAUUCAAAACAAGAAAAAGGUUUAAUAUUACCAAUUUCUUUGCCUUAUGAAGAUAUGAAGAGGUUUGCUAAAGAGUUAGAUGAGAUGCUUGGUAACCAUCAUCCUACAACGAGAGGUCAUAGUUCUAUCACGUCCUCCCUGUAGUUUCUGAUGUUCAAGUAUAGAAGUAAUUGUUGUUUUCGAAUUUUCAAACUGUUGUAUUUGGAUUUCCAAAUUCUAUUAUCUAGCGAAGUUGUUACUAGGUUGAGUCACGACCAGGUCACUCUCUUUAAGACGUUUCGUGGCACUGCCCAAGAUUGUGCAAGGGAGACUAUCAACCACGCCGCCUCCAAGAUAAAACAAGUCCAGCUACAACUGUGCGGUUAACUACUGUACUGUAGAAAACUGUUCGAGAUUUACACCUUCAAAUAUAGUACUAAGACCACUCUUUAAUACUGAAACCACUUUAAUAUGGUAUUGUUACCACUCUGUUAUGGUGCUGAAACCACUAAAAUAUGGUGUUACCACCAUUCUAACUUUAAUUUCUCCAAAGUAUCAAUAUUGCACUACGACCACUCAAAUAUGGUGAUAUCGCCAUUUCAACUUUUUAAUUUCUCCUCAAUUUAAAUAUUGAAAGAAUAUUUAUAUUCCGUUAAGAUCAUUCUUAAUUCCGAAGGGACAUUAAACCGAAAAGGGACUAUGGUCUUAAGAACACUCUUAAUUCCGAAGGGACAAAAAAAAGGAGAUGAAGAGAAGAAAGACUCGUCAACACAAGUCAAGAAAGGGAGAAGAGAGAAAGAGUUUCCGCCAACUCAAUGAAACUCUUUGGUGUAAUUUUGGAACUGAGUGGAGUCCUCUAUUUAUAUCGAGAUUUUGUAACCGUUUUAGCAAAAAUUGCGACAACAGAUACUCUAAUGGAUAAGAUUAAAAUGGAGUUUAUCCAUUAAUCAGUUCAACAACACUUGUGGAUAGGAUCAAAAGAAACAAAUCCACAAAAGCAGAGGAAACAAACUAUUGGGUUUGAAUAAAGGAAAUAUAAGAAAUUUAAUUAAAUUCUUAUUCUUAUCACAACCACCAUAAGCUAAAUUUAUGGGAAGUGAUAUUCUCGAAUAAAAAUAAUAAUUACUAUUAUUUUUAUCAUUAUCAAGUAUUUAAAGUUAAAUACCGCAAUUUAAACACUACUAAUGUGUGUAUUCUAUUUUAUGUGGGACCCCCACACUCUAUUUUUUCAAUUCACACAACAUUAGAUCAAAGUAUAAUUACUUGGUGUUUAAUCUUCCAAUUUUUCUUCCAACAUCACACUAAUGUUCCAACAAUUCCCCACUUGAAUUGAAAAAAUGGUUUCGAUAAUAACGUCAAAACGUUUCUAUAAGUUUGCUAAUAAACAAAGGUGUCGCCUACAACUUGAACCUUUGCAUAGCGACUAAUAUUCCGAUUUAUAAGAGUUGCUUACAACAUUGAACUCUAUCUCAGACAUAGAACCCGCACACAAAUCUUUUCCUAAGGUAUAAUCUAAAAGCUCGUGCGUUUUUGGCCAUGCACGUCUAUCCCAGUUUUAGCGAAUGCUCUAGGUAUUCUGCCCCGAAUUCCAUAGAAACCGGCCUCAUAGUUCCACAUUCGUAUAGGUGAGUUUACCAAGAGUCUUCCUUGUAGUUUGUGAUGUUCAAGUAUAUAAUAAGUAAUUAAAUAAAUGCCAUUAAUUUAAAUAAAGUUGUGGGCUUAUGCACAAUAUCAUUAAAAGAAGGGUCAUGUUAACUGGUGCCUUCGGGGCACUGGUUAAGAAAGUAAAAAACAAAAAUUUUUACUUGAAAACAACAAAGUUUUGACUUUUAAAAAGUUGAACAUUCCACUUUUUUACAAUUUCCAAUGCAAAAUUGAUAUAUCAGUCUCCUUAACUAAUAUUCCGGAGACAUUAGUUAACAUUACACUUAAAAAAACAUCUUUUUGUUACUCUCAUGUAAUAAGCUAAAACUAUUACAAUAAUAACUAACAGGAGUAUGCGACUUAGCUAUGUGAAAGAGUUAUGUGUAAAACCAAGUUUUUAAUUAUUAAUUUAUUUUUUAGUCCUCUAUAAAUCACAUAGGCUAUUUUCGUUUUAGUCCUCUAUAAAUCACAUAGGCUAUUUUUGUUGGUGUAAGGCCUAGAGGAUAAUAAUUUUUGUGUAAAUUUAUAAAUCACAUAAGGGCAAUAUUAGGUAUUUGAGUCUGAAGUUUUACUAUGAAAUGAGAUGGUAGUAUGAUGUAGUGACUAUACGAUAAAUUGAUGAUCACAUCUCAUGAGUCAUGGAUAUAAAAUUAUCAAAUUUUUAUAUAGGUAUAAAUAUUAGGAGUAAUAGUUGUUCCUUGAUUGAGCCCCUGUGUAUGAGAUAAAUGAAUUGUUAUGCAUGUGUCAUAAAUUCUUCUCAUUUUGAUAGUCUGUUAUAUGACACAUGAGACUGAAGAGGACAAGGAGUGAUAGUCUAUGAACACUCUUUAGCUAUAAUAUAAUCAACCGGUAAAUUUGCACUAACGAACAUUCUUCAAUUUUUUUAUGUUCCGCUUUUAAAAUUGUAGCAGGUUGGUUUACGAUAGUUAGCUAGAAAAACAAAAAAUAAUGGCCCAAUUUUGGUUACUAUACUGAAAUUAAAAUUGAAAUUGAUUCUAUAAUUUAGGUUUUGGCUAUAAUAUCAUCUGGCUUUUUCUACUAAAAUUGAUUUUAUAUUAUUUAAAAUUGAAUUUUUUUUGUCUUACGGAUAUUGUGAGUCUAAGUCCAUCUCUAGUUGAUUCGUGAUCCCUCAAAUAUGUUUCAUAAGUUUAGCAACUUUAUUAAUUCGAUUAAAAAAAUUGAGUCGAGAUUGGUCCGUUGAAUUGCUUCAUACCCUCCAAGAAGGAAAUUUCUUGCUAAUUGUUUGGCAAAGUUGGAUGUUAGAAGUUAUGAGAGUAUGGUGGAUUCAUAUGCAGUGCAUUUGAUUUUGUCUUCUUCAUUAAUUGUUGAUUUUCUAGAAGUCUCUUUUGUCAUGUGUUAGUCUUUUUUAAUUUCUUUUUGUAUUUUCUAUCCUCUUGUAACUAAAUAUAUGUUAUAUCAAAAAUUUAUUUAAAUAAUCUCAUGUGUAACUUUCUGUAUGUGCACGCGCGUGUGUAUAUAUAAUAAUAGAUUGUUGAGUACAUUUAACAUUUUCUUAAAAAAGUUAAAAUUAAUAUUAUCUCACUUAUUUAACUAUAAAUUAUUUAUAUUCAUCUUUGUUUUUAUUUUUAAAUAAAAAAAAGAAGAAAACAUUAUGCAUCGAAAGCGUCAGAAAUUUAAUUUUAUUCCUCUAAGGUGCCAAUAUCCUACUGAUAUCUGUGACUUGUGAGUAUGGAAUAAUUUAGUUUUUAAAAGAUGAGUAUAGAAUUUAUUUAAAAAUUUAAAAUCCUCGUUUAGAAGAGAAAUAUAAAUUCAACUUUUUUAGUAUUAUGAUAUAUAUAUAUAUAUAUAUAUAUAUAUAUAAUUAUUUUUUGAUAUAAUUAUAACUUCAUUGUCCUUUACAUAAUUUUAUUUAUUGAAAAAAUUGUUGAAUCCACAAAGACAUUCAGUGUUGUUGUAAAAUUCCAGCAUUGUGCAAACAAUAAAAUUCAAGUAGGUUUUGGAUUUUAAAAUCCGAAGACAUUUAAUUAAAAAAAAAAAAAAAAACCCACAUAAUGAGUUUGGGCAAACAAUAAACUAAGCCAAGAAUUAGAUGAGUUGGUUGAAAAAUCACUUAGUUUAAGCACUAAGAGCUAAGAGCUUAUGCGCAUACUCUCAUAACUUCUAACAUUCAACUUUGCGCAUGGAGCUCUUUAGUAUGUUGGAUGUUAGAAGUUAUGCGAUUAAAAAAUUAAGACUGAUUUGACAGCACUAAGAGCUUAUGCGCAUGGAGCUCUUUAGGAUUGAAUUUUUUAGACCGCUCGCUUAGCAUGUAGGCUGGGGAUCAAAUUAAUAUACUCCAUGAAUUUAAGAGGUCUAACUAUAAGACCAUUUACGAUGGUUUCAAGUACUGCAACUGUCAUAUGGAUCGAAAAAAAAAAAGUAUUGCAACUGUCAUGUAUGCAAGACAGACCGAGGACCAAACCAACUCAAAGGGUAAGUUAGGGGAGUGCACUAAAAAAAUCCUUGAUGUUUGGUGGUAAAGAGCCAAAAGAUGGACACUAACAUAAAGGGUUGUGAGUUGUAACCACUGUUUUCAAAUAUGUAAUUCAGAUUAGAGCGGUGCUAUACGGCGCAACAGACCAUAUAACACGACAAAGCACGACAAACACGAUUGUAUGUAAUAGUUCAUUUUGGUCUUAUAAAAAUAACUUGAUUUAGUAGCUCUUCAUGAAGAAAAAAAAAUGUAGAUAGUUUUAUAGAAUGAUCCUUACGUUUAAGUUAUUUAAUUUGUUUUAAUUUUAUAUUUUUUUCCUUAAAACCCUAAAUCUUUUGGAUCAUUUUGACUGUACAAAAAAGGUUACUUACAUUAUGAGGUUUUUUAAGUUUAACAUUUUUAUUGGGUUUGUUCUUUUAGUUUUUUCAGUUUUAGAUUGAUUUUUUAUGUCGGUAAAAGUGUGCACCUAAUCCUUUAAGUCAUAAAAUGUAUAUACACCAUUAAUAUUUUUCCAUCAAACUCAAUUAAAAAAUAUUUAUGUAGACGUUUAUUGAAAAGUCGGUAAGUUUAAAUCAUAAGUGUAUUAUUCGUUAUUAAUUUGGAGAAAAAAUUAUAGAUUAAAUUUUUAAAAUGUUUAAAAAGAUGUAAGUAAUCAAUUUAUAGAUUAAAAUUUCUAAAACAUGAUUAAGAUUAAAUUGAAAAACAAUAAGAAGAAAAUGUAUGUAAGUAAUCAUGUUAUGUGUCAUAAACACUUUUUAAACAUUUUAUCUUAUGGGAGUAUUUAUUUAACAAAGUUGGAUGAAAAAGGGAUCAAUUUAUUAAAAAAAGAAAUUAAAGGACUAGCUUAUUCAUUUUUAUCAACAUAAAUGACCAUUUAAAAGCUAAAAAAUAUAAAAAGGAUUAAUCUAAUAUAAAUGUUAAAUUAAAGGACCCGAUGUGUAUUUACGGUUCAUUUGAUGCGCAGGAAGCAGGAUAGAGAGACAGAUAUCCAAAUCCGUUUGGUGCACCAAUAUGAUACGAUAAAUUAAACCCAUUAGUAAUCAUAUCCUAUCUAUCCUUUGUAAUUUUAAUCCUUGAUUUUUGGUGGGUUAACAACUUGAUAGGAUUUCUCAAACCCAUCCAUCGUACACAAGUCUUUCCUUCCCACAUAUUCAAUCUGUUAACUCCACCAAACUGACUUCUGUUUUCAACUUUUUUGUAAACGAUUCCUCCAAAAAAAAAAAACUUUUUUUAAUUGAUGAAUGAAUGAUACAAUUAAUCGAUGAUACAAUUACAACACAAAGUUUUCAUCUUUUUUUUAAUCAUUAAUCGAUGGCUAAAACCCAAUUGGAUGAUUGGUUAAUCACAUCAUCAUCAUCAUCGUGGCUUCUUAAUUUGAAAAUCCAAUUCCUUAUAUGGGUUAAUUAUCCCAAAUUGCAUCAUCAUCAUCUUUGCUUCUUGGUUGAAAAACCCAAUUGGUAAACCUCAUCAGUCAUCAUCAUCUUAGACUGAAACAGUGAAACCCAAUUGUUAUUGAACAUUAGUCCCCAUAGUCGAUGAUCGAAAUACUUCUGCAUAUUAUUAGUAUUAUUUUCUUAAUUUAUGUGUCUGAAAUGUUAAUCUUGAAUAUAUUAAUCUUUAAAAAAAUAUUUAUCUGUAUUUUUGUCAUUUAAAUAUAAUAUAAAAUUAUCAUGUCAAAAGCAAGGAUACACAAAACAUAUGAUAUGAUAAAAUAAUAAUAUCAUCUUUCUUAUCAUAUCUGCACCAAACACAUGAUAUGAUAAAUACAUAUCCUAUCAUUAUCCAACUCCUUAUCUAUCAUAUCUACGCACCACACGGACCCUUAGCUUAUAAAAAACAACACAUGCACACAAAAAAUAAAAGUUAACAAAUAAAAAACCAAAUCAAAAAGGAAACUUAAGUUGUUGUACAUUCGUGUUUGUCAAAUAGUGUCGUUAAUCAUUUAUCUUCAGAUUAUGACCUAGAAUAGGAUAGUAGAUGGUAAAUUGGAGGAUCGUAAAAUCCUACCAAAAUAGAUGAUCAUAACUCGGAGAAGGAUCAUAACCUCUAAAAUCAUAACCAAUUUCGUAAUAAUGACAAAUAAAUCAACCUAAAAAUUAAGAUUCAAAACUCAAACAGAGCUAAAUAGGAUGGAGAGAACUUUUGCAAUGGUAACAGUAGAAUAAGUGAUAUGUGGGAGUUCACAAGUGAGAGAGAAUGUGGGAAAACUCGCAUCACAUCUUUAUAUAAUAUGGGAGUAAUGGGACUAAUAAGUGCUUCAACUCUUCAAGACGGUGCUUUCAACUUUCCAUUAGUCGAACAUAGUAUAAAAGUAAAUCGAUUUGUUUUGUUAUUGCUAGUGCAAAACAACACGAUGAAGGCAAAACAAUGUGUUUUGUUCUAGAAAUUACAAAAAACAUCAUUCACUACAAUAUUGUUUUGACUAAAGGAGAGUUGAAGUCUCCCACUUUGGAAAGUUGAAACACUUAUCAAAAUUUUCCCUCUAUUCUCACUUCGAAACCAAUUUCUCCCGCUCUCUCACUUGAGAACACCCACAUACCAGUUAUUGGCUCUUUUAUUACCAUUGCAAAGGUUUUCUCACCUCAUUUUGUUCUAUAUGAACUUAUGUUGAAUUGUUUGAAUUUUGAAUCUUAAUCUCCAUGUUGGGUUAUUUGUCAUGAUUGUAUAUUUGGUUAUGGUUUUAGAGUUUACGAUCCUACGGUUUUGGAUUACGAUCCUUCUCCCAGUUAUGAUUUUCUGUUUUGAUAGGAUCUUACGAUCCAUGCUACGAUUCUCUAGAGCUACAAUCCAUGACCUUCCUUCCUCUCCUAAUCUGAAUUAUGUGUUUCACAAGAUUGUCAUGGACACCAAUCAUAAACUCUCAUAUGUGAAAAAUAAGUGUUUCCCGUUUGGCUAGCAACCAACACUCAACUUUUACCCACCUACCAGUAAUUUAUGCACGGUAAUAAGGAACUAAAAUCAAAUGUCAUAAAAGACUACCGCAAUACAUGAGCUGAUAACCGAUAGUGGCAUGUACUAACAAAAUACAUGACAUCCAAGCACAAACAAAAGAGUUCAGUUUUGAGUAAUAAGAGUUGCAACUUGCAAGCUUGAAAUUAUAAAGCAUGCUAACUGAAAUAAUCACAACAAUAUGCUCACUGUAAAAGAGUAGAGUGUAUAUGCGCUCGAAAUAGCCAAAUGCUAAGUUGCAACAAAUUUUCAAAAUGGUCAAGGGAAACAAGUUAAAAAGAACAAAUGAGUCCUUCGAAUAUGUAGCAAAAAAGAUUAUUACACAUUUCACUAAAAAAGUGUCACUCACCUUUGAUUAUUAUCAAAUACUCCCUCUUUGCAUUUUUAUAAGCACUCAUUAAAUUUUUCCCUCUUUGUUUUGGCUUGUGAUUCAUGAUGCAAUUGUCAGAAAUUUACUGAAGCAAAGGAUGAUUGGAAAGCAACAAUGUACAAUCUGAUGGUAAAUAGGCCUGAGUUAAAAUGUUUGCUCGUUUUUGGUGAAUACACAUGAGGAAGCUAGUAAAAAUACAGCCUCACUAGAUUGCAAUUACAAAUUACAAUGUGUCGGAGUCCUAGUUUAUUAGCUUUCUAUGGGUUGAUGUGCCAUAUAUUGUUGAGGAGCGGCUUGAUAUGUUUCGAUCAUUUUUUUGCCUUGAGAGUGUAUUAAGGUUGAACUCUUUUUGGUUUAUUCCAUGAGUAUCUUGUGCUUAGAAUAGAGUUUUCACCUUAGUGACGCCUUGCUGUCUAGGAAUGAUUUUGGAUUUGUGUUUCAUAUCAGCCAAAGCAUCUUUUGAGUUCAACAUUACAACAAUCUAACAUAAUUACAAAACAUUGACACAGUCUUUUAUAGUUCCUUAAACAAUUUCAUCCUAUUAAUGAACAUCUUUGAGUCACCAAACUCAAAGAAGCUUGUAAAUGGUGCCAAAUUAAUAAAAUGAAACUUUAAUGAUUAUAUAGUAACUCCGCCAAUUCUAAGAGCACAAACAAGUGGAUUGAAGAGAGUUGAGGCCUCUUCAAAGUUCACACACGUAAUCGAUACCGUUAAACAACACACAAAAAGAAGUUGUAUAUGUCUCUGAGCUACCCAAAACUGUCAAGGGCCAUUAUCUAAGACACUUCUUUUGGUGGGUUGAUUAACUACAUCGACAACGCUAUGAGCAAGAAGGACGUAAAACAACAUAUCUUAAUGCCCUUUUUUGGACUUUCAAACAUAGAAAUUUUAACAUAAUUACUUAAUUUUCCUUGUUAAUAUGAGAAUGAGAAAGUGAAUAGAAAAAAAAGAGAGAAAACUUAAGGGGAAGUGAGAACAAGAGUGAUAUUUGGAAAACUGAGUGAAUAGAGGGAUGAAAAUGAAACUAUGUUGAUAACUUAUAACAUAGAAGAUAGGAACGUGAUUCUGGAUUUUGAAUGGAAAAUGGUUUAUUAAUCAGGUGUAGGCUAUGGUAGAAUAAGGUUUACAUAGUGCUAGUUUAUAUAAAGGAUUGUUGCCAAAUUGUUGGUAUAUACUACAUUGUACAAGUGCAAUGGCACGAUAUAUGCAUGUGAGACUGAAGAUCAGACCAGUCAAAGGGUAGUUGGGAGAUACCCUGUAUUUUGAAAGUAGUUGGGAGAGAGUGCUGAAAAAGUUCUGCUAUAGGAGGGAAUUGAAAAAGGAGGGAAACUAACACAAAGAAGGUUUUGAUUGAUACUCAGAAUAGCUAACCCUCCUCAACAUUUUUACAUUCUCAUUUUUUUUUUAUCUUGUGUUAUUUUAACAUUCUUGGAAACUAGUGCAGAUAUCCGAAGUUGUAUGAGUUAGACAUAUAUAUUAAUUUUUGAAAUGUUAAUUCUCAUCUUUAAAUGAAAUAAUUUUAAUUUGUAAAUAAAAAAUACCAAAAAAAUCAUUAACCAAUAUAUCAUAUUAAUUUUUUUGAACAAGAAAAAAUGGAAUACCAUUAUUGAUAAUCUUUUUAAGCACAAGAUGUGUCAAAUAUGAUUAUAAAAAGAUACAACCAGGCAUCAAAAGUUCUAUAACAACAAAAACAAGAAAAGCACAACCAACUAAAUGACCUAAAAAAUGCAAUGACAGAGAUGAAGUCUCCAAAAAUGGUAUUCAAAAUCAGAAGUAUCAUAUUUUGAUUUCAACCACCAAUAAGUUUGAAGCUUAAUCUUCUCGCAUAAUGCGUGUAAAGUUUCCUCCUUAUGGUGAAAAAUAUGAUGAUUGCGCUUUUUUCAAAUUAUCCAUACCGUAGAAAUCCAAACAAUAUUCAACAGCAUAUGACACCUAUUCGCAAAACCACCCAAAGCACCAAAUUGCAUCUGAGGCUCAUCAAAUAAAUGUGUCCCACUAAUACCAAACCUAACAAAUUUACUACCAAAGACCAUAAUCUGCCUAAAAAUUCACAUCUAACAAAUAAGUGAUUCAUAUCUUUAUCCAUACCGCAUCCUCGUUGUUAUUAAGGACUCUCCUCCAAAGCAAGUUAUCUUUAAUCGCAUCCGAUUAAGAAGCAGACGUUAAACAAACAAAGAAACUUUUAGCGGCACCCCUUUUAGAGUUCUUGAAUUUCAGAACCACGUGUCAAGCAUUUGUCUUACUAAUACUUGCACAAGUCUUCGUACAAAAGUUUUUUUUUACUUAAACAAUGUCUCAGGUUCAAACUUACAUACUCGCAUAUUAAAUAUCAAGGUAGCAUAUGAAAUGUACCUACCAAAACAGAAGUGCAACACAUUUAUUUUAAUCUACAAUUUUCAUUUGGAGUCGAAUAAAUGUUGUGUUCAUGAAAAAAUAAAUGGGUGUGGACUGUGGAGUACCCAUACGUAAGACCAACAAAUCUAUUUUUUUGAGGGAUAGACCAACAAAUCUAUUGGUAAUUGUAAUAAUAGAACAUGUGAAUCUCACGCUUUCACUCCAAUUUUCAAUUACCAUAACAUUCCAACGUCCUAAUACUAAAUACCACUACUCCGAUCCUUUUUUCUCGAAUCCAUUCAAUUGUUCAAAGAAUAAGAAAGACAAAAUCACACACAACACGGACACAAACAUCGUACAAACAAUGUCAAUGACGACAACAAGUACAAAGGAAUCGAAGGUGCACGAUGCUGCACAUAAUCGUUUAGCCACCCUCAUAGCUCACUUGCUUCCUCCCUCCACAACCUCCUCCUCCGCACUCAUCCAACCUCUCCACCUUUCCGCUUCCUCUAGAAUCUCCCCUCCAUUGAAUCUCAAAGGAACCCUCACCAUUGUCGAUGAUCGAACCGGGAAGAAAUAUAACAUUGAGGUGUUUCCUGAUGGGACUAUCAAAUCUAAUGAUUUUAAGAAUGUGAUGGAUGUCUCUGCUUUAUUUCCAAAUUGGCUAUCGGAAUCGUCAUCAAUUUUGUUUUUUGCUUGUUGGUUAGGAUAUGAGAAAGUUGUGUUGUGUUGAUGAAUUUUCAAUUGUAGAUUUGGCACUCUAAAUGAUUUUGAUUUGAUGAAUUUGGCCUGUUUAAUUUUGCUCCUUUAUGUUUCACUUAAUUGUUUGAAAAAUGGCGUUGUUUCUAGUUUACGUUCUAAAUUGUAAAUUUUAUGAAGAAUUGUUUUGUAAAACAAUGACUAUUGAGAUGUAAUGAAAAUUCUUAUGUCAUGUUUUUGUUUUUAGUUAGUACUUACUUUCUUGACUUUUUUUAAAGCAAGAGUGAUACAAAAUGUACCAAUCAAAUUCAUUGAAAUUGAAAUAAAGAGGAAACAAUGCAAGAAAGAAAGGGGGACUCAGCCAAAACUUUUUCAAAAGCUUACAAAUCUAAAGUUUGGUAGACCUAAUCAAUUCAUAAUGUAAUCAUUUCUAACUACAUCAGAUAUAUCAUUCUACCUUGCAAAAGAGGAGAUGGAUAGGCCUAAAUUUUCUUAACUAUCAGCACAAAAUUCACCUUCUCUCUAUAUAUGUGAGUAACCAUGAAAUUGAUAUUGUUGAUCAGAGCUAAACAAUUAAGCUAUAUGUUUCUUAUGUUUCAAGGAACCAGUGAGCAGAUUUGAAAGUCAUCACAACAAUCCACAAGUUUCUCCUGUCUUUGUUGUUAACAUUUUUUUUAAUUUUACCUUCAAAAAUUUAUUAGAAAAUGAGAAAAGUACAAAGAAUACUUAACCCUUAAUUCAAGAAAAGAUAAUGGUGAGAUGGGAUUUAGAAAUCCCAUAAUUUUUUAAUAAAGUCAUGUUGCCGAAACAAGUUGAAGAGUUGACUAAUUCAAAUUUCCUUAUUGCGAGCUGUUGGAAGUUAAAUAUUUUCCUACUAAAGUGUAGUUAAAUAAUAUCAUUUGGUUAAUGAGUUCAUCAAAGACAAAUCAUUUAGGCAAAUCCGAGUUCUAUUAUUUGGUGGAACAAUUUUUAGCCAAGUUUUACUCAUCCCCCGACCGAACUUCGUAGUUCCAAACCCAUUUUUUCUAGGAACCAAAUGAUUAACGGAAAAAAAAUGCUUGUGUUGGUAAUUUAUGUAUAUGUGCAUGGAGAAGUAUACAUCAUGCUAGUUAGGUUAUAAGCAAGGAAGCUAUUGGAAACAUAGAAAUUUUUUUUUGUUAAAUAAUCUCUUCCAUUGAAUCGUUGUUAAACAAUUUUUUUUCUGGGUGGUGGGAGUGAGGAACAUAGGAAAAUAAUUUGUAUUGGUUGGAAUUUUGUUUGUAUGAGGAAGGAGUAUGGUGGGUUGGGGGUUAGGAGGUUGAGAGUUUAACACCGCAUUAUUGGGGAAAUGGUGUUGGCGUUUGUUAAUUGAUAGGGAAGGUUUGUGGCGUAAGGUGUUGGUAGCUAGGUAUGCUGCGGAGGAUGGAGGUUUGGAAGAUGGGGGUUGGAGUUAUUCUUCUUGGUGGAGGGAGAUAGUGAGAAUUAGAUAUGGGUAGGGGGAAAUGGUGAGGGGUAGUUUGCGGCCUGUGUCAGGAGGAGGGUGGGGGACGGGGCUGAAACUUAUUUUUGGCGUGACUGUUGGUGUGGUGAUGUUUCUUUUCGUGAGCGAUUUCAUCGUCUAUACGACUUGGCUGUCCAAAAAGCAAUCACGGUUAGGAACAUGUUCUUGUUGGGGUGGAAUGAUGGUGGGGAGGUGUGUCCGUAGUGUCGCCAUUUGGGGGCGUGGGAGGAAGAGUUGGUAGAGAAGUGUAGGGAAUUAAUGCUUAAUAUUUCUUUGCAGGAUACAUCUACUGAUAUGUGGCAGUGGCUUUUGGACCGAGUGGGGGUUGCUCCGUUCGUGGUGUUUAUGACAUGCUGACAUCCCAUGAGCAUCCUCAUUUACAUCAAAAUAUGGAAUUAAUUUGGCAUAAGAAGGUCCAUUUGAAAGUAUUUAUUUUUCCUUGGCGACUGCUAAUGGAACGAUUACCUACAAAAUCAAAUUUGGCUAUUCGCGACAUUAUCUUUUCAGAAGCGUAGUUGUGGUCACGUCGAGGACACUACACAUUUGUUCCUGUCGUGUCCAACUCUUUGUGCUAUUUGGUCGUUGGUGCGAGUGUGGUUUGGCUAUGAUGGCGCGGACUCCCAGGUUAUUUCAGAUCACUUCUUGCAAUUUAUUAGUUAUGCAGAUGGUCUGAAAUCGCGGCGCUCCCUUUUUCAUUUGAUAUGGUUCUUGUGUCUUUGGGUCUUGUGGAAUUAAAGCAAUAGUAGGUGAUUUAAUAACCAACAAAGCUCUAUCACGCAUCUGUUAGAUAAAGUAAAGUCAUACUCUUUGUGGUGGCUGAAAGCCAGUAAGACUGCCUUUGUUUUCGGCACUCAUUUGUGGUGGUCGAGCCCACUUAUGUGUUUGGGCAUCGGCUAGAUUUUUAUGUAUUUUUUACAGACAUUUUUUAUUUUUCGUGAUUUCUUUCGCACGCCUUGUACUGGGCGAUUGCGUUGUCAGUGUUAAUAUAAUUCAUUUUUGACUUGUUCAAAACAAAAAAAAAAACAACAAAAAAAAAACCUAUUGGAAAAUUCGCAAUGGGAUAUCAACUAGGAUUUCUAAUGACAAUUGGUUGCCUUGUUAAAAAGAUUAAAAACUCUAACUCGGAGACAUAGCCUAUGUGUUUAGGGUUAGAGACUUUUAUGAUAAGAACAUUAAGAGGAUGAUAUGAUCAUGUGAUGGGUACUAUUGAUGUUAUAGGUUAAAGUAUGCUGCCAUUUUAUAAAACAUGGUAGAGAUGAGAAUCGUAGUUCUCUAAUCACUAACAUAACAACUGUAAAAACAUAUGGAAAAGUGUGUAUAAACUAUAAACUAUCCCCAUGGACAUCAAGCGUUAUUGUAGCAUAUUCUAAAAGAAACAUAUCUUGCUCUAAUUUCUUCCCUAUAUGCUUAAACACUCUAAAACUAUUGUCCAUAGUUUUAGAAAUUAUGAUCGAGCAACCCAAAUUUGGUUUGGGUCCCCCUAUUAUUUUAAAACUCACAUCUUACUUAGAUGCUAAGUUUGAGGAUUAGAUUCUAAAUAUAAGACAGACAAGUCAUUAGAUAAAUUAAUUAGCUGAGAAUCAUACAUCAAUUCAUUUUUCUCAUUUGCUACCACUGUCAUACCACCCUUCUUAGGGACAACAUGGACCGGACUGACCCAUGAACUAUCAGAGAUUGGGUAGAUCAUACCAGCUUCUAGGAGUUUCAGCACCUCCUUCUUUACCACUUCCUUCAUUGUUGGAUUCAGCCUUCUUUGAGGUUGAACCACUGGCUUAUACUCAACUUUUAAAUGAAUUUUAUGCAUGUAAUAGGCUGGACUUAUAACUUUUAAAUCAGAGAUCUGCCAGCCCAAUGCUCCUUGAUUUUCCCUUAAAACCCUCAUUAAUUUUUCUUCUUCAAGGGCUGAUAAGGAAUUGUUAAUGAUGGCUGGCUUCGAGGCAUCUUCACUUAGGAAAACAUAUUUCGAAUGAGAAGGAAGUUCUUUCAAUUCAGGAAUUUUUGUUGUUUUCUCUUAACCUUUGACUUGAUUUAGAGUCUCUUUUGACAAAAUAUCCCUUUUCAUCAACCACGUCCACUCGGUAACAUUGUGGAUUUUCAUUUCUAUAUUUCUAUGCUUCAUAACUUCGAAAAUGUUGAAUAUCACUUGCUCAUUUUGAAAACGCGACAUCAAUUCUCCUCUUUCCACAUCAAUAAGUGCCCUGCCAGUUGCUAGAAAAGGUAUCCCUAACAACACAAGCAUCUCUUCAUCAUCAGCCAUGUCCAAUAUCACGAAAUCAGCUGGAAAUACCAAGUCAUUCACUCUCACUAGAACAUCUUCCAGCACUCUGUAAGGAUAUGAGUUUGACCGAUCAGCUAGAGUGAGAGUCAUUCUUGUAGGUUUUGGUUCCCCACAUUUUAAUUUCUUCAUCAUGGAGAGAGGCAUCAGAUUUAUGCUUGCUCCCAAAUCACAAAGAGCUCUUCCCAUACUGACCUUCCCAAUGGUACAAGGAAUCGUAAACGCUCCAGGGUCUUUCAAUUUAGGAGGGAGCUUUCGUUGGAGGAUGGCACUACAAUUCUCAGAUAAGGCUAUAUUUUCAUCAUCUUUAGGCCUCCUUCUUCCGGUUAAUAAAUCUUUCAUGAAUUUAGCAUACACCGACAUUUGAUCAAGAGCUUCACUAAAAGGUAUGUUAACUUGCAGCUGAGAGAAUAGUUCCAUGAACUUCGUGAAUUGCCUUUCCUCCUUCUUCUUCUUUUUAGACAAAUGAGAAUAAGGAAGCUUCACAUAUGAUGGAAUCUCUUGUGGUUUGUCUCCAUCUUUCAACAAUUGGCUCUUAGACUUCCUCAAUAUUGAAUUCACAUCUAUUAAAGGCUCACUUUUUUCUCCCUCAUCAUUUUUUUUCUUCCUUUCAUUUUCAACUACACCAUGAUCACUCUCUUUUUCAACUACAACAUCCUCAACAUUCUUUUCAACUACACCAUUAUUAACUUCCUCCACUACUACUUCAUCACCCUUCUUUGUAGCUUUUGGAACUAAAGAUGUUAAAAUCUUUUUGCUCCUCAACUCAAUAGCAUUGCAAGUCUCAUUCUUAGGGUUUUAUUUAGUGUUUACAUGUGAAUCCUCCCUUAGUUUGAUCAACCAACUGCUUUGCUAUCUGCCCAAUUUGGGUUUCAAACAUUUUUCUUGAAGCCUCGUUAUUCUUUCUUUUAGUUUCUUGACUCUUCUUAAUCUCUUCAAAGUUUUAUUGAGUUAUCUUCAUGAAAUUAGUCAUUGCUUCCUCAAGACCUGAAGGUUUUCUUUGCUGUUGUUAAGGGUUAGGUAGCAGAGGGUUCAAGGUGUUGUUAUUUGUGUACUUUAGGUUGGGAUGAUUUAGCCAACCUGGGUUGUAGGUGUUAGAAUAAGGGUGGACCUUUGGAUAAUUUCUCAAGUAAUUGGCUUCUUCACUCACUCCUUCUGGUUCACAUUCACCAUUUGCACGCCCCUCAGCACAGAAAACACACCUGAUUGCAGCUACUUGUUGAGUUUGUUUGGCCAUGGUCAACCCUUGGACAUGCUUGGUUAAAGCUUCUAACUGUUUGUUGAUUGCUGCUUGGUUAGCUAGGAUGGUGGUAUUGUCACUAACCCCAAAAACGCCCCUUUUCUUUUUCUCCGCAUCAACACGGUAUUCAUUUUGGACCAUGUUUUCUAAUAUGGUUUGGACUUCAUGGUUAGUUUUAACUCUCAGACUAUCACCAACUGAAGCAUCUAAAAACAUCCUAUUGUUGUGUUAACCUCUCAGUGAAAAUUUAGAGGAAUUGUUUGUCAGAAAACUCAUGGCCAGGAUACCUUUUAAGCUGCAGUUUAAACCACUCCCAAACGUCAUAAAGUGACUCGUUCUCCCCUUGCCUGAAGUUUGAUAUCUCAUGUUUCUUCUCCCAAUAUUUGGACACAGGGAAAAAUCUCUCUAAGAAUUUCAGUUCCAACUCAUCCCAUGUUUGAAUAAUUCCACUCGGAAUGGUUCGCAACCAAUCUUUGGCUUUUCCAACUAAGGUGGAGGCAAAAAACCUAAGUUUCGUUUGGUCAUCAGUCAAAGUGGUUGGGGGUACACAAAACUCACAUGUUUCAAAGAAAUGACUCAAGUGUUCAUGAGGGCUCAUGCUAUCUGACCCAUCAUAUUAUCUGUCGUUCAACCCAUUUUGAAUGGAUGUUUUGAUAUUAAAAUCUACUGGAUUUGCUAGUUGAAAGACAUGAGUUAGACGACCGCGGUAAGCAGAUAAACCAUAGUCUCCCAACUUAGGUCUCGGUGGUGGAUCAACAUCUCCCAUUGUGUUAAAUUUAGGAGAAAUGAUUGAUUCAAGUUCAGAAGGUGUUGGACUUGUAUAUCGUGUUCUUGGACUAGGUGGAAUAGACUUUGACAAUCGGACAACUUUCCGAUUUGCUCUUGCAGUCCUCUCAAUUUCAGAGUCAAAAAAUAGAUCAUUAGAACGUCCUCUACCUCGCAUAAACAGCAAAAUACCUUAGUAGCACUGCACGAUACAAAAUUAAAUAGUGAAUACUGAAACAAUAUAAAAAAUUUAAUAGAAAAAUAAAUUGCAGAAAUUUAAAUUGCAGAAAUCCUUAUUAAUAACGAUAUUGCCUUGUUGAAAUAAUUCAACAGUCCCCGACAACGGCACCAAAAACUUGAUAGAUAUUUGGAAAGUGUACCAAAAACUAUUGAAGUAGUAAAUAAAAGAUCGUAUCCACGAGGACUGUAUUUAACUUCUACUUAGAAAUUUCAUUAUUAAAAAGGAUGUAGUAAAUUCAAGGGUGCCCUAGGCAGUUGGGUUGACUUGUGUAACACAAACGUAAUAAAACAAUAAAAGUUGGUUUAUAGAAAAUUGAUGUGAGAUGAAUGAUUAAGCCGAUGAAUCCGCUAUUGUUUUACAUGAAUCGUUUUCCACCCUUUACUCUCAAUAACUAUUCGUUCUUUAAGACAAAUUAACUAAAUAGUUUUGAUCAAUCUCUUGACUCAAAACCCUUUCCUAAGUUAUAACCUUUUAAUCUCUUAAACCGAUUGAAUAACUGCGAAAGCAAUUUCUGAACGUUAAUUCCUGAGUUCGUAACUUCCUAUCUCUAGUUUCAUAUGUAAAGUUAAACAGAAUUACUAUUUCAGGAUUAAAAGAUAGGGUUAAUAGUCAAUUAAUUCCUAAGAUCAAUUAAUAUGAUUGAAGAAGUUAGGGUUAAUAGUCAUACAAACAAUCAUAAGAAAAGCAAUGAACACAAAUAAUUUUGAAUAAAGACUGCAUAAUAUUGAUAAUAAAGAGUUUCAACCACUGAUUCACAUAUUACCAUAGGUUCAUCAUGUUUCAAUCAAUCUAAGAGUUUAGCUACUCAUAACUAAACAAUUAUAAACAUAGACAAGAGUAAACAUACAUAAAUCUGGACCAACUAUGAGUUGGUAUGAGAUUAAGGGCUUGUUCUUCGGUCUCCUAGUGCUUUCUAUGCUCAAAAUCACAGUCCAAAUCGUCGCCUUAAAUCCUAAGCCGCAUCUGGCUUUUAUAGACAAAAAUUAGGGUUUCAUGAAAGGCCAUCAUCGUGGCAUGUUUCGAGACCUCGUGGCACAAUCACUUCAUUAAUUUGACGUGGCAGCAAAUUCAACAGACCAUCUGACACGUUUCGUGGUCCAUCGUGCCACAAAAAUUCUAGUACGCAUCAGUGAAUUCCACAUCCUUGUAAUGUGCCGCGAUGAAUCCCAACGUGGCACGAUUUCUUCAGUAUUCUUCUUCAACUUCCUUUUUUGUGCUCUUGUCCAUUCUUUAUAUGAUUUAACCAUGGAUUACAAGUAAUUGACUCUCUGUAUGCCAUAAAACGACAUAAAAAUGACCAAAAUACUAGUGCUGACGUGCAGUCAUCAGCCUUCUUCACUCUUUAAAAAUGGAAAUCUCCAGUGGCAUGCACAAUGUUACCUUAGAAAUGGAUAGUAAGACUUUGGUGGACGCUCUUUCAGCUCGCAAUAUUCCCUCCAAUGAUUUUGGUGGAAGAGCCUCUUAUAUAGUAAUCCCAACUACAUAGUGUCGUUUGUUUGGAGGCAAGCAAAUAAGGUAGCUCAUAAGAUAGCUAGAGUUGCCUUAUCACACCCUAGCCCCCAUGAUUUUCAGGAAGCCUCUUAUACAUUGUACCUUGAUCUUUAAUGAAAUGCAGUAAUUUUAAUUUGUUUAAAAAAAAAACAUAAUAUCAAUUAUGUUGUCCUCGCGAGCUUAGCUCAGUUGAUAUGGACAAUGCAUAAUAUAUGGAAGGCCUAUUGAAUCAUCUGGUCCCUUAACUUAAUUGAUAUUAUCAAUUUGAUCCCCUAACUAUAAUUUGUUCCAAUUUGGUCCCCUAUGUUUUGCUUCAUUACUAGUUUUAGUCCUUUCUAUUAGUUUCUCUAAAAAAAAACGUUAAUUUAUGUACCAAUUUGGUCCCCUAUGUUUUGCUUUGUUAUUAGUUUUAGUCAUUUUUGUUAACGUUUUUUUUUUUUUUGAGAGAAACUAACAGAAAUGACUAAAACUAGUAACGGAGCAAAACAUAGAUAACUAAAUUGAUACAAAUUAUAGUUAGGGGAUCAAAUUGAGACAAUCAAUUAAAUUAAAGGACCGGGUGAUUGAAUAAGCUUAUAUGAUCUCCGGGGUUUGAACCCUCUCCACCACCCAAAAAAAAAUUCUAAUUUUUUUUUUCAAUAUUCAAACGCUUACCGCUCAGGCUAAAGCCCAUUAAAAAUAUAUCCUUUUAAAAAACAUGACACAAUCAAACACAAACAAUCGAUUUUUUUAAUGAUAUAACGAAGAUUAUCAUACCAAUCAUUCAAUUAUGGCGGAACUUCAAACAAAACAACCGAAGAUUAUUGAACCAUCAUAAAAUAAAAGUCAACAAUAAACAAUCAAAAACAUGAGGAGAGACAACAAAUUUAUGUUUUCAAACCAAUUAAAGUUUUAACAUUCUGUUUCUAAACAAUCACAUUUUCAGUUAAGGUUUCAAUUCAUUCAACAAAGGUAUUAAAGUGUGCAGUUAAGGUAUCAAAAAGUUUUGCCUCCAUUUGUUGGAUUUCACAGACUUGUGUGUUCCAUGUCAAUAACAAGAGUCUAAUGCAGAUCUUUAUACAGUUACGGAUGCUCCAACAUGUUGACUUGUGAAUGAUCUUACAAGUUCUUACUACUCCUAUAGGUUCACCUAUUAGAGCAGCAAAAGAUGAACCUACAAUAGCAGCAAUAUGACUUGCAAGAGCAACCACAUGUGGAGUGUCAUAGUAGCCUCAAUUGAAUAAAGAUCUACAAAAGUCCCAAGUUACCGACAAGAAACAAUCAAACAUUGUUAUUGAAUCCAAAUAAAUGGAGGAUAGACUUUCUACUAAGAUGUUAUUUUAGACCUUAGAUCGAUGCACCCUUGAUCAGACACCUAAACAAAUUGAAACCGUCAACAAAAAGGUGGCUUGUUUAGUAAAGGAUGUUGAAAUUUUAAUUGGUCUGAAAGAAAAUAUUCUCUUUGGUCCCUCCUCUUGAAUGUUUUUGCUUGAAGUUCUGAUAUUGCUUGAAUAUUUUCUGUCAGAACUUCAAGCAAUUUAAUUUAUGGUUCAACGUUCUUCAAUGUUUUUGCUUGAAGUUCUGACAUUGCUGAAGAUUUGUUUGGUCUUCUUCGAUGGUCUUUUAAAAAAAAUGUUUGUUUUAUGUUUGAUAUAACGUUAACAAUAUGAAUUCAAAUAGAAGAAGAAAAACAAUGAAAAUUGCCACUCUGAAGAAGAAUCACGCCGAAAAACAUAAAACUUUGAUCACAUUUUUAAACAAUUGAAAAAUCGAUAGUAGAAUAGUGUCAAAACGCAAUUCAAGAAUGAUCGAAACAAGCUCUAGAUAUUAUGUUAACACUAUGGAUUCACAAGAGAAGAAGAUAGAAUAAUGCAAUUUAUGCAAAGAUACACUAUACAUGUCAGCUUUAUUCCCUUCCUAUUCCAAUUUUUCAUCCUCUUUAGAUUCAAAAUUGAAAAAUCAUUCAACUUAAAAAGUAAAAUUUCCCUGAAUUCAACAUGUUCCUUUCCUCUUAAAUAUAAGCAACAAAUUUUAAAUUUAUGUUUGAUAGUCUAAAAUAUAAUCAAAUAUUAACUACUUCAAUCAUAUUUAAUGUUGCUUUUCCUAAUUGCCCUUCAAUUUAUUUAGAUUUUAUUUUCCAAUAACCAUUUUAUUUCAAUGGAAGAAGUUCCUCAAGGAGUAAUUUAUUGGAAAAUAUGCAAUUACUUUUUUUAUUAAAUUUUAGAAAAUUUGAUGAAUCAAACUACUUAAGGAGAUUGAGAAUAAUUGAAGUCCCAACAACAAAAAUUCGUAUGCACCAUAUUCUAUUUACUCCUGAAAACCCAAAGCAGAACAAAUGUCAACAAGAAAAAAUAACAAAAUCCAUAAAAUGUACAAAACCAAAAUUAAGUUAAGAACCAACAAAUGAUUUCAUUGUUCUGGUAUAAUGAUUUUUUUUUUAACUCCUCCCCUCUCAACAUUUUUUUCUUCUUCAAUGGCUCUCUCUUGGUAUUCUCCAACCAAAACUAUUGAUGUUAUCCCUCCCAUACUGCUUGUUUAUAUAAGGGAUGCUGCAAAAUUGAUGGUACAUAGUGCACAUGGAACAAUAUAUGCAUGAGAAGGAAACUAACAUAAAGAAGGUUUUGGUUGACACUUAAAAUAGCAAACCCCUCAAGGUAUUGUUGCAUUUUUUUUUCUUCAUGUUUUUAUAUUCUCAUUUGUUAUUUUGUGUUAUCUAAUUUUUUAUUGAAAAGGCAAAACUUAUUAAAACCACUAACCCAAACACAAGGAGGACAAAGCUCACCAUUAUACAAAGUUACAAACAGCACUCUCCAGAGUCCAACUCCUGAAAAAGAAAUAUGGACAUUAUGUAUUUUUUAUGUAGUUUUCAUAUUAAUUUUUGCAUAUCGAAGAUUAUAAAAUAUAUGAAUGGAAGAAAAUGAAAACAUAAUACAUAAAAUACGACUAAAAAAGGGACCACUGCUACUAUCAUGAAUAAUUCUAAAUCAAAUCAAUCAUUAAUGUUGCUUGUUAAGUUGAAGUGAAGUUAUCUAUUCAAUUAAUACUUAUUGAAUUAAUUGUACCUUAUGAUAGUGUGGCCAAAUGGAUGAAUUUGGAUUGUAAUGGAUAAAUCAAUGUCCUCACUUAUGCUAUGAGUUGUUUUCUUUACUUCCUUCAAGUGUUGUGUGAGAAACUUGAGAGGUUAUCAGUAAUCUCUGAUGGAGUACAAAAGAUAAAGAGAUGAAAACUAUUUUCCAAUCAAAAGAUAAUGGUGAGAUGAGAUGUUGAAUUUCCAUGAAAGUUAUGUUGCCGAAACAAGCUACUAAUCCAAAUUCCCUUAUUGCAAGCCGUUUGAAAAAUAAAUAUUUUCAUGCCAAAGAGUAGUUAGAUGCUCUUGUUGUUAACGAAUUAAUUGGUCUCAAAUGGUUAAAUAAUUUCAUUAAAGACGAAUUGUUUAAGAUAAUUCAAAAUCAAAUAAUUCUUGAUCAGACUUUAAUCACCUCCCGACCGAACUUCAUAGUUCAUAUUACUAGAGUCUCUUUCCUCUGAAAACCGAAGAGUUAACACAAAAAAGAAAUCUCGAAAUGGAUUUAUGUAACUAUACUUGGAAAGGUAUACAUCAUGCUAAGCUAUUGGAAAAUUGGCAAUGGUUGCCUUGUCGAAACUGUUAGGGUUAAGUAGUUUGUUAAUAUGCAAGCUUAAUCAUGUUUUAGUGUUUUUAGAGUUUGUCUUUGCACAGUUGCUUCUGGUGCAAGCUAGCUUAGUUGUUUUGUUACCUUGUCUAUAAAUAGGUGACUACUACUUGUAUUUCACAACUUGAAUAAUGAAAAACACUUUUCUCUUUAUAAUUGGUAUCUAGAGCUUGGGUUAAGGGCUUGUAGAACAAAUCACAAAGCGCAGCUUUUGGCGGGAAAAGUUUGUUACAGUUUGUUUUGCAUAUUCUUCUUUAUUCAUCUUCCUCCUUUCUAAGCUUUCAUCCAUGGCGGAUUCUGCAAAUUUCGCUCAACCUUCUAUUUCAAAGUUUGAUGGAUUCUAUGAUCAUUGGUCCAUGCUUAUGCAAAAUCUCCUUCGUUCCAAAGAGUAUUGGGACUUAGUUGAAACUGGAAUUACAAUUGCUCCUGAAAAUCCAACACCAGAACAAGAAAAAGCUGCAAAGGAUAGUAAACUUCUUGAUCUAAAGGUAAAAAAACUAUCUUUUUCAAUCCAUUGAUAGAAAAAUCAUGGAAACCAUUCUGGUUAAAGAUUCAACAAAGGAUAUUUGGGAUGCUAUGCGUAGAAAGUAUCAAGGUUCUACGAAGGUGAAAUGUGCUCAAUUGCAAUCUUUACGCAAGGAAUUUGAGAUUCUUGCAAUGAAAGAAGGUGAAACCAUAGACGAUUACUUCACAAGAACUCUCUCUAUUGCAAAUAAAAUGAUUGCACAUGGUGAGAAGAUGGAUCAAACGCUGGUUGUUGAAAAGAUUCUGAGAUCUUUAACAAGUAAAUUCAAUUAUGUGGUGUGUUCCAUUGAAGAAUCAAAUGACGUCACUACGCUAUCAAUUGAUGAGUUGCAGAGUAGUUUACUUGUUCAAGAACAACGCAUGAAAUCUCAGAAUCAAGACUUUGAUGUUGAACAAGCUUUGAAGGUCUUCAAUGGCGAAAUAGGUUAUGUAGGGUAUGAUAGAGGAAGGGGCAGAGGAAGAAUCAACAAAGCAAGUGUUGAGUGUUUCAAGUGUCACAAGCUGGGACACUAUCAGAAUGAGUGUCCUCUAUGGGAAGAAAAUGCUAACUUUGCUGAGUUUGAAGAUGGUGAAUUACUUCUUAUGGCUCAAUCUUGCUUGAACACAAACGCCAAAGAUGAGGUAUGGUUUCUUGAUUUUGGCUGUUCAAAUCAUAUGAUAGGAACAAAUGAGUGGCUAUUUGAUUUUGAUAGUGAGUUUAGAGAAUCAAUGAAGCUAGGUGAUGAUUCUAGAAUGCCUGUUAUGGGAAGAGGAAACUUGAAAUUGCUUAUUGGUGGCAUGAUUCAAGUCAUAAAAAAAUGUGUAUUUUCUUCCUGGACUUAGAAACAAUUUUCUUAGUAUUGGACAACUUCAGCAGAAGAAUCUAACAAUUGUUUUUAAGAAAGAUACUUGCAAAGUAUAUCAUGAGGAGAGGGGUUUGAUAAUGUCAACACAGAUGAGCACCAAUAGAAUGUUUAUCAUCUCUGCACCAGUUAUUGUUCCUGAAUGUUUGAAAAUUGAGAUAUGUGAAGAUGCUAAGAUAUGGCAUCAAAGAUAUGGACAUCUUAGCUGGAAGGGUUUGAAAAUUCUGAUUAAGAAGGAAAUGGUGAGGGAUUUACCUGUUUUACAGGAGAUUGAAGCAAAAUGCAAAGAUUGCUUGUUGGGGAAGCAACACAGGGAAACUAUUCCUAAGAAAGCACAAUGGAAAGCUUCAUAAAAGCUUGAAUUGAUUCACUCUGAUCUUUGUGGCCUUAUCACAUCUGGUUCCAACUCUGGUAUUAGAUACUUCAUAACUUUCACAGAUGACUUCAGUAGAAAGACUUGGACAUACAUAUUAAAAGAGAAAUCAAAGGCAUUUGAAACAUUCAAAUUGUUCAAAGUCUUAGUUGAAAAAGAAUAUGGAUGUUUAAUCAAAUGCUUAAGAUCAGACAGAGGUGGAGAGUAUACUUCUACAGAGUUCAAUGAGUUUUGCAGCUCAAAUGGAAUCAAAAGACAACUGACCAUUGCUUACACACCUCAGCAAAAUGGUGUUUCAUAAAGAAAGAAUAGAACUUUGAUGAAUAUGGUAAGAAGUAUGCUUCCAGCUAGAGAUGUUCCAAAGGUUUUCUGGCUAGAAGCAGUUGUAUGGGCCACUCAUGUGUUAAAUAGAAGCCCUACAUUGUCAGUCAAAGAUAUAACUUAGAGGAAGCAUGGAGUGGUGUGAAACCUACAGUUCAACACUUUAGAGUUUUUGGAUGCAUUUCCUAUACUCAUAUACGAGACAUUCAGAGAAAGAAGCUAGAUGACAAAAGUACCAUAUGUAUUCUACUUGGUUUGAGUGAAGAAUCAAAAGCUUAUAAGUUGUAUGACCCCAAGAAUAAGAAAGUGGUAAUUAGCAGGGAUGUUGUAUUUGAAGAAACACAAGGAUGGAACUGGAAUGGGAAUGAAAACACUCAAUCAAGUUCAACCUUGAUAGAUGAUGAUGUGAUAGAAUUUACAACUGAUGAGCCAGUAAAUCAAACUGAACCUGAAUGACUGGUAUUGAUGAUAAAAAUGGGAAUGACACUUCAGAUCAUGGGAAUGAUACCUCUGAUCAUGAAGAAGAGAUAGAUGUUGAGUCACCAGAUGAAGUUGAACUUUCCCCUAGAACAAGAAAUCCACCAGGUUACUUAAAAGAUUAUGUGAUUGGUAGAGAAGCUGAAGAAGAUAAGCUGCAAAAUAGAUUCGCUUUGUUCAAUACUUCAUCUAAUCCAAAUACAUUUGAGGAAGCAUCAAAGAUGAAGAUGUUGAGAGAAGCUAUGAAACAAGAAAUUGACUCAAUAGAAAGUUACAACACUUGGGAACUUACUGAUUUACCAGCAGGUUGCAAGAAGAUAGGAGUUAAAUGGAUUUACAAAACUAAGCUGAACGAAAAAGGGGAAUUUAGAAGCACAAAGCCAGAUUGGUUGCUAAGGGAUAUGCUCAAAAGCUUGGAUUUGACUACAAUGAAGUGUUUGCACCAGUAGCAAGAUGGGACACCAUCAGAACUCUUCUAGCAAUUGCAGCUUGCAAAGGUUGGAACGUGUAUCAGCUUGAUGUCAAGAGUGCUUUUCUGCAUGGAGAGUUAAUUGAAGAUGUGUAUGUGGAGCAACCUUUAGGUUACAAAAAGGAAGAUACAAGCAAGGUGUAUAAACUGAAGAAGGAUUUGUAUGGAUUAAGACAGGCACCAAGAGCAUGGUAUAGUAAAAUAAAAUCCUACUUUGCUCAAGAAAAUUUUGAGAAAUGUUCACAUGAACAUACUUUAUUUGUGAAAAACAUCUCUGAUGGAAGAAUACUUAUAGUUAGCUUGUAUGUAGAUGAUCUAAUCUACACUGGAGAUGACAUUUAGAUGUUUGAAUCAUUCAAACACUCAAUUUAAAAGAAUUUUGCUAUGACUGAUUUGGGAAAAAUGAGAUACUUCUUUGGAGUAGAAGUAAAGUAGUGUGAUGAGGGAAUCUUUAUUAGCCAAUGUAAAUACUCUUCUGAAAUCUUAGAGAGGUUUGGUAUGGAGAACUGCAAUAUAGUGUGUAAUCUUAUAGUGACUGGAACUAAACUGGUGAAAGAUGAGAAUGCUAAAGCAACAGAUGCAAGCAAAUUCAAACAAAUGGUUGGCUGCUUAAUGUAUAUGCUUGCUACUAGACCAGAUUUAGAAUAUUCAGUAUGCCUGGUUGCUAGAUACAUGGAGAGACCUACUGAAAUGCACUCGCAACCAUCAAAAGAAUUCUAAGAUAUUUGAAAGGAACUGCUAGCUAUGGAAUACUCUAUAAGAGAAGAGGUGAAAUUGACUGGUUGGUUAGAUUCAGAUUAUGCAGGUGACAUUGAUGACAGGAAAAGUACUUCAGGCUAUGUGUACAUGAUUUGUGAUAGUACAAUAGCUUGGUCAUCUAAAAAGCAACCUAUAGUUACUCUCUCCACUACUGAAGCAGAAUAUGUUGCAGCAGCUUCAUGUUCAUGUCAGGGAAUUUGGUUAAGAAGAAUCUUGCACCACUUGAAUGAGGAACAGAAAGAAGUAUCAACAAUAUACUUUGACAAUAGCUCAUCAAUAAAGCUAUCUAAGAAUCCAGUCAUGCAUGGUAGAUGCAAACAUAUAGAUGUCAGGUUUCACUUCCUAAGAGACUUAACUAAAGAUGGAAUCAUGGAAUUGAAGCUUUGCAACUCACAAGAUCAACUAGCUGACAUUAUGACAAAGCCACCGAAGUUGGAAGCAUUUGGCAAACUGAGAUCUAAGCUUGGCAUUAUGGAUAGCUUGAAAGAACCAAACUAACUCCUUGUAUAAACUGUUUUAGAGACUGCUCAGUUUAAGGGAGGGAUUGUUAUGGUUAAGUAGUUUGUUAAUAUGCAAGCUUAAUCAUGUUUUAGUGUUUUUAGAGUUAGUCUUUGCACAUUUGCUUGUGGUGCAAACUAGCUUAGUUGUUUUGUUACCUUGUCUAUAAAUAGGUGACUAUUACUUGUAUUUCACAACUUGAAUAAUGAAAAACACUUUUCUCUUUAAUUUAAAAAAGAGAUUUAAAUGUUGGAACCAUAGCUUAAUUGACCCUACUCUUCUCCCUUUUAAAGGUGCUUAACAUUCAAGUGGAUGAUCUGAACAUGUGAUGGGUACUACUACUCAUGGUAAUUAUAGUGUAAAGUAUGCUACCAUUGCACAACGCUAUAAGUGGCAUAAUUUGCUCUUUUUUCUUCCCUAAAUGCUUAAACACUAAAACUAUUGUCCAUAGUUUUAGCAAGUGUGAUCAAGCAACCAAUAUUUGGUUUGGGUCCCCCCAUUAUUAUAAAACUCACAUCUUGCUUAGAUGUUAAGUUAUCAUUAGAUAAAGUAAUCAGCUGAGAAUCAAACAUCAAAAUAACAAAACCAUCUCUCAAAACCAAAUCAUUGAGUAUUAUUAUAUUUGAAGUGUCUUGUAAACAUUCAAAAUCAAUCACAAGAUCCAUAACUCAAAUCAUAAAAAAACAGAAAAACAAAAAACAAACCACACUUAUUUCAAUAACAUAAAUCAAACUAAAAACAAAACAAAAGACACUCCAACUUCAGCACACAAUUUCCCAGCAGCUUCAAACUAUAAAAACCCAAGUCUCUCAAAAACCAUGAAUCUUGAUCUGAUCCUUCCUCACAAGACCGGCUUGAACCAAAAACUGAGAAACCUUCUUCCUCUGAUCACCUUGUAGUUGGAUAAUUUUACCAAGUUCUUUAUCCUGCACAACAUUCCCGUUGCAACAGAACUCUUUCUUAAGAUCCUUGAGAAUUUUCUCGUAGCUGUAAUCUUUUUUCAGCCCUUGAACAGUUGUUAAGCUCUUUUUUCCAUUUCUUUGCUGAAUGCGUAUAUGAACAUACUCUUUUCCUCCGGGGGCAUCCGAUUCUAUGGCGUCAGCGAAUGGAUCGAAAGCAGUUGGGAUCUGGAUGUCCAACUCAACCAUGUACUUUGCUUGAUUUGAACUUCGGAACACGGACAAUGAAAGCAACUGCAAGGUAACAAAAACAUGUUUAGAUAAGAAACAAAAAUUUCACCAUACAUGAAAGCUUUACAAAAGAAUUCAUAUUAAUUCUUGUACAUGAAUCUAAGCUAGUUUAUGACAUACAAGAAAUCAUAUUAUAUGUGUCGGACACAGACACCACCGGACACAAAACAGACUCUCACUCGCCAUCAUCGUUAACAUAUUAUAUGUGUCGGUGUGUCAGACUGACACGACACUCAAAAGAAAAUAAACUCAAACCAAUUUAUAAAAAGAAAAUUUGUGGCAUAAUUAAGACAGAAAAUUCCAUCAAGCUUUCAAUAAAAAUUUGAAUAGAAAUUUGAAUUGAUUUCAUUAAAACCCUAAAAUUCUACGAAACAAAGGAUCAAAGACAGAUUAACACAUGAUCAUUGGAUGAUAUAUGAACAAAAACCCUAAAAUUCUAAGAUACAAAAUCAUUAACCAAAGAAAAAAAAAAAGGAAAACACGACAACGUUAGACAGAUCAUGAUCAUCCAUGUAACAUGUUUCUCAAACCUA
RNAcentral lists this long non-coding RNA (50993 nucleotides) under Medicago truncatula (barrel medic). RNAcentral describes it as "long non-coding RNA (MTRU_LNC000616)". The record is from RNAcentral. Lineage: Eukaryota; Viridiplantae; Streptophyta; Magnoliopsida; Fabales; Fabaceae.